UAAAAUUGGGUAAUUGGGAAAUAUCAAAAUAUGGUUUGUUUAAACUGUGAAAAAAAAAAAAAAAAGAUAAAAUAUUUCAAUCACUAAAGAAAAUAAUUUAACUAACUCGAUGUUGUAGGUCACGAGAAGCGUUGACACGGAACGCGGUCAACUAAGUCAACAGGAAAGGAAAACUGUCGAAGCAAUUGUGAAAGCUAGGUACUAUUUGUGAUGUCUAGUUUCGUAAUUUUACACAUGUGGUACUAUUUCUGAAAUGUUUCUUUCGUGACUUUUAGUGAGUACCCGUUGUCAAUAAUUCUAGUUGGAGUUGGAGAUGGACCAUGGGACAUGAUGAGGGAAUUUGACGAUAAUAUCCCUGCCCGAUCUUUUGACAAUUUUCAGGCAAGUUUUUAGCAAAUGUCAUUACAUUUGUUAGUUACUUGUUUUUUUUUUUUUUUUUUUCUAAAUUCUCUAUUGAUUUAACCUUUUUUUUUUCCAUUUUAGUUUGUGAAUUUUACAGAAAUAAUGUCAAAGAAUAUCGAUCGGUCUAGGAAGGAAGCGGAGUUUGCUCUUGCAGCCUUGAUGGAAAUACCAGCACAGUACAAGGCAACAUUAGAGCUCAACAUUUUAGGGUAACCUUCUGCUUAUUUUUAAACAGAAAUUAUUUAAUUGCAAGAAAUAGCCCUUUAAACAAAUAAAUGAAAAUACAUUGUUAUUUCUUAGAUUUAUCCCUUUAAAGAAACCCAACAUUUGCUUUGAAUAUAUAUGAAUCAGUGGUCGUAGAGGAAAAGCCAUAGAUCGGAUAGCUCUUCCUCCACCUUGUUAUGGUUCGGUGUCUUCACGUGCAUCAUCAAAGCCAUCGGGACCCACUACCUUCCAACCCUCUUCACACUCGUUUCAAGCAAAGUCAACACCGGUCAACAAAAGUUAUGCUGGAGGUUCCUCUUCUGAUAACCAAGUAAAGUCGUUUUUUGACUGAAUCAAUUAUUGUGUAACCGAAAAUUAUUAUUAUUAUUAUUUUUUGACUGAAUCUGAAUGAGCAUUUUGAUUUUGGCAGCUUUGCCCGAUUUGCAUAAGCAACCCGAAAGAUAUGGCUUUCGGCUGUGGACACCAGGUACAACUAUGACUCUUUUUUCUUAUAAUAUGUAUAUGUUUUUUUUUUUUUUUAAUGAUUUAAUAAAUGUUUCAAGGAAUAUAAUAUGGUUUUAUUUUCUUGUGUUUUUCAGACGUGUUGUGAAUGUGGGAAAGAUCUUCUGUUGUGCCCUAUAUGUCGGGAUCAAAUAGACACAAGGAUUAAGCUUUACUGAGUGGAAUAUGAGCUUGUUUUGAGUGCUAUAUGUUAUUUAGUUUGUACAUAAUCUUAUUCUUUGUAACUGGUUUUGGGACAAAAAUGUGUGAACCGGAAUAAACCCAUUUUGUAACCGGUCUAAUUGGAUUUUUCCUAGUUCAGUUUGUAACUGGUUUCAAUUAUGGAUCGGAUCUGGAUACAAAUCGGAUGAAUGGUUUUGUUGUGCAUCUCUAAUUGGAAGAAAAAUAGAGAUUUUAGAAAGUCCAAAGUAAUACAUUUGAUAAUAGCUGAUAAUUUUAUACAGUAACAGUUGAUACUGGUUCUAUUAUCACGGAAAUAGAAAUUGGUUUUAAUAACUAGAAUAAAGCAUUCACGAAAUUUGAUUGAGAAAAAUUUCAUGGAUUUAUGACAUGCAUGAAUAGAUAAUUACCACCAAAUAAAUGAUUCAAGUAAACCUGAUGAUUACUCUUCAACUUCUUCAAAGCUUUCUCCCAUGAAACUUUAAGAGUACUGAAACCCCUAGCUUUCAUCCCCAUCUUCCUCCUUCUAAACACUUUUCUUAAACCUGAAACCUGAACCCCAACCCGCUUCUUGAUCAUCAAUCUCCGCCACAGCCGCCACCUCCUCCACCGCCGGUGUUGGUUAUGGUGGCCUUCUGCAUUUUUCAGUCUCAGGUAAUGAAACCUCCAUAGAGAAACCAACUCAUGGUCAUCCAUGAUGGAAUUGCAAGCAAAUCAAACGCUAAUGUUAGUUAAACUUGUGUAGACGUAUAUUGGGUUUUAUAUAUAUAAAGAGAGAUUCAUGAAGUUAGGUUUAUUUGGGUUUUAUGAUGAACGGAUAACGUUAAUUAGUAGCUGGAUUUUGCAGGUGAAUUAAAUGUGAUGUAUGAACUUUAUACACUAUGAUAAAAUUUGAGAGUAGUACACGAUGGAAUUUGCAGGUGAAUUAACCUGUUCUUUUUUUUUUUUUUUUUUUUUUUUUUUUUUUUUUUUUUUUGCGACCGAAUGGGAAUUUUUACUACCACUUUUGUCAUUUUGCUUCUCUUCAUAUCAUUUUGUUUAUUCUUUCAUUAGGAACAGGUUUAUAAAAAUAAAAAUUUUAAUAUAAAAUUAUAAGCAUUAUAUAAUUUUAAAGUAAUAGUUUUACAUAAAUAUAAACGAUAUAAUAAAUAAAAUAAGUAAUUUAAUAUAUACUGUAUGAAAUUUUUGAAAAACUGUAGAGCAUUUAUUAUGAAAUUUAAUAAAAUGAUCUACCUUACAUAUAUAAAUCUCACUAAAAUAAGGAUUCAAAUUUUAAGAAAAAUGAAAAACACAAGAAAAUAGAAAAAAAUAAUUCAGAAUUUUUUUGAAAAUGACAUUUGUCAAAUUCAAUAAAACAAAACAUUUGAUAAAAUUGAUUUUUAUUUAUGAAGAAUGGAAAAUUAUUUAGCAUCUUGUUUAUGAUAUUUUAAGUGUUUUGAGAAUUGAAAUGUAAACAAGUAGUCGUAAUGAAUAGUAGCGUGUAAGUUUUGAACACAAUAUACAUUUUAAUAUAUUUUUAUUAUUAAAUACUAUUUACUUUUUAAUCACUUAAUAUGUAAAAUGAUAAAAUAAAUAUUCUUGAAUUGUUAUAAAUAUACAUAUAUCUGUUUUUCUUUUUGUUGUGAUUUAUGAUAAAAAAAAAUUUAGAGACUAUUUAUCAAUAACUCUUUUAAUGCGUUAAAAGUUCAACAAUCUUUUUAUAGUGUUAUAGUUUUUUUUGGUUAUCUUAUAUUCUAUAAUUAAGUUGCGAGUUUAUUUUUUCAUCGUUACUUUCAUUUGGGGGGCGAGUUUAAUAUAUGGCAAUGUGGGUUUUUUGAGCCCCCUAAAUNNNNNNNNNNNNNNNNNNNNNNNNNNNNNNNNNNNNNNNNNNNNNNNNNNNNNNNNNNNNNNNNNNNNNNNNNNNNNNNNNNNNNNNNNNNNNNNNNNNNNNNNNNNNNNNNNNNNNNNNNNNNNNNNNNNNNNNNNNNNNNNNNNNNNNNNNNNNNNNNNNNNNNNNNNNNNNNNNNNNNNNNNNNNNNNNNNNNNNNNNNNNNNNNNNNNNNNNNNNNNNNNNNNNNNNNNNNNNNNNNNNNNNNNNNNNNNNNNNNNNNNNNNNNNNNNNNNNNNNNNNNNNNNNNNNNNNNNNNNNNNNNNNNNNNNNNNNNNNNNNNNNNNNNNNNNNNNNNNNNNNNNNNNNNNNNNNNNNNNNNNNNNNNNNNNNNNNNNNNNNNNNNNNNNNNNNNNNNNNNNNNNNNNNNNNNNNNNNNNNNNNNNNNNNNNNNNNNNNNNNNNNNNNNNNNNNNNNNNNNNNNNNNNNNNNNNNNNNNNNNNNNNNNNNNNNNNNNNNNNNNNNNNNNNNNNNNNNNNNNNNNNNNNNNNNNNNNNNNNNNNNNNNNNNNNNNNNNNNNNNNNNNNNNNNNNNNNNNNNNNNNNNNNNNNNNNNNNNNNNNNNNNNNNNNNNNNNNNNNNNNNNNNNNNNNNNNNNNNNNNNNNNNNNNNNNNNNNNNNNNNNNNNNNNNNNNNNNNNNNNNNNNNNNNNNNNNNNNNNNNNNNNNNNNNNNNNNNNNNNNNNNNNNNNNNNNNNNNNNNNNNNNNNNNNNNNNNNNNNNNNNNNNNNNNNNNNNNNNNNNNNNNNNNNNNNNNNNNNNNNNNNNNNNNNNNNNNNNNNNNNNNNNNNNNNNNNNNNNNNNNNNNNNNNNNNNNNNNNNNNNNUAUAUAUAUAUAAAAGCCCAAAAUCUAUAUCCCAAAUUCCCAAUAGCCCAAAAUUCAAAUGUUUAAUCCAUUUGAAAUUUAGCCAAGAUACCCGAUAUAAUUUAUCAUACAAUUAAUUUCAAAAACUCUUAUGAACAAUGUUUAAUAUUUAGGCGGCUAAUUACUUUUUAUCGGCUAAUAAUUUAUUUACCGACUAGGUCAUCGUUGUUCGUCGGCUUUGGCUUCAAUUUAGAGCGCCUCCUUCUCCUGGCGAUCACCUCCAACGACAUCCAAUUGGAUGUCUUCACCUCUCUAGUUCUCCUUCUCAUCCGAUCGAUUCAACCUAUACCUAAUUACCUCUGCAGAUUUCGCGCCUCUUUGGGUUCAACAAAUAACUUAAUCGAUAACAAUGUAUCUUCUACAUCACGCUUACCUUACCUUGAGUCCAAAGUAUUAUUGUUUUUUUAUCUCAUUAAUGCCAUCAUCCUCAUCCUGAGUCCUAAUUUGGCAGUGCGACUACUCCAAUUUAAGUAUUUUGGUUCGUUUUUAGUGUUCGUCGAUUUGGUGGUUAUGCCGGUUGUAGCUAUGACCGGCGUCGUUGGACCGACAAUUGAAAAUUGAGGUUAAAGAGAUCAAGCGGUCGUCCGAUUUUGGGGUUUUGUUGAAAGGCUUACUUUGGGGCCUUUUAUUAGUUAUACAGAGAUAAGACAAAACGUUCAGAAACCAAUCCGCCAGGCUUUAGAAGCUUGUGGAAGAAAGCAAAUAAUGUAACGUCAAUAAAAAUCAUGAAAAUUUUAAACGUUUAAAACCAACCCAAAAUCAUAAAUUGUUAACAACGUAUUUUCAAAACAUGUUCCAUAUCAAAGUUUUCCAAAAUCAAAAGUCAAAACAUGAAGAUAUGUACGGUCAGGCCUUCGCCUUCCCGCGAUCAUCUGAAAUACUUGAAACAUAACCUAAAACUGUAAGUCCAACACUUCGUGAGUUCCCUCAAUGUACCAACACAUAAACAACGCUUAGUGAGUUCCCCAAAUAAAAAUAACGUUAAAAAAAAUAACUUGCUUCAAAUUAUAUAUCAAAAAUAAUAACAACAUACAUUAUAAUAUUCGAAUAUAUAUAUAUAUAUANNNNNNNNNNNNNNNNNNNNNNNNNNNNNNNNNNNNNNNNNNNNNNNNNNNNNNNNNNNNNNNNNNNNNNNNNNNNNNNNNNNNNNNNNNNNNNNNNNNNNNNNNNNNNNNNNNNNNNNNNNNNNNNNNNNNNNNNNNNNNNNNNNNNNNNNNNNNNNNNNNNNNNNNNNNNNNNNNNNNNNNNNNNNNNNNNNNNNNNNNNNNNNNNNNNNNNNNNNNNNNNNNNNNNNNNNNNNNNNNNNNNNNNNNNNNNNNNNNNNNNNNNNNNNNNNNNNNNNNNNNNNNNNNNNNNNNNNNNNNNNNNNNNNNNNNNNNNNNNNNNNNNNNNNNNNNNNNNNNNNNNNNNNNNNNNNNNNNNNNNNNNNNNNNNNNNNNNNNNNNNNNNNNNNNNNNNNNNNNNNNNNNNNNNNNNNNNNNNNNNNNNNNNNNNNNNNNNNNNNNNNNNNNNNNNNNNNNNNNNNNNNNNNNNNNNNNNNNNNNNNNNNNNNNNNNNNNNNNNNNNNNNNNNNNNNNNNNNNNNNNNNNNNNNNNNNNNNNNNNNNNNNNUAUAUAUAUAUAUAUAUAUAUGUUAAGGCCCAAAAUUUAUAUCCUAAAUUCCCAAUAACCCAAAAUUCAAAUGUUUAAUCCAUUUGAAAUUUAACCAAGAUACCCACCAUAGUUUAUAAUACAACUAAUUCCAAAUAUUCUUCCGAACAAUGUUUAAUUUUUAGGCGGCUAAUUACUUUUUAUCAGCUAAUAAUAUUUUUACCAACUGGGUCAUCACCGUUCAUCGGCUUUGGCUUCAAUUUAGAGUGCCUCCUUCUCCUGACGAUCACCUCCAAUGAUAGCCAAUUGGAUGUUUUCACUUCUUUAGUUCUCCUUCUCAUCCGAUCGAUUCAACCUCUACCUAAUUACGUCUAUAGAUUUCAUCGAUAACAAUCUAUCUUCUACACCACGCUUACCUUACCUUGAAUCCAAAGUAUUAUUGUUUUUUGAUCCCAUUCGUUCCCUAAUCCUCAUUCUGUGUCCCAAUUGGGUAGUGCUACUACUCCAAUUUAAGUAUUCUGGUUCGUUUUUAGUGUUCGUCGAUUUGGUGGUGAUGUUGACGGUAGUUAUGACCAGUGUCGUUGGAUCGACAUUUGAAAAACGAGGUUAAAGAGAUCAAACGGUCAUCCGAUUUUGGGGUUUUGUUGAAAGGUUUACUUUGGGGCCUUUUACUAGUUAUACAGAGAGAAUAGAAAAACAUUCAGAUACCAAUCCGCAAGGCUUUAGAAACUUGUGGAAGAAAGCGGAUAUGUAACACUGUAACGCCCCGAUUCGUAGGUAUUGAUUUGAAUGAAAGUUUAUUUGGUUUUAAGAUCUACUCGACGAGUUGGUUGCCCUGCUCGUCGAAAAGCAGUGGGGUGGGAUCGCGUGUUUAGUGGCCUAUUCGCCGAGUCCAAGAAGGGACUCAACGAAUAGGAGCUGGCAGAUGAAACCCUAAAUCCCAGGGUUUUGCCCCCUAUUUAAAGAAGCACAAGCCUCUUUCAGCCUCUUUACAGUCCCUUGAGAGCUUAGCAAAACCCUAAUACGUGUGUGUGCCCAUUUUGUGUUUGAAGCUUUGGAAGAUGAUUCUUGGCGAGAAGAGUUUGGGGAAACAAGUGGAUUGAAGCAAGGAACUCAGGGGAAAUCAAGAUCUACUUCAAUUGGCAUAUUUUAGGAAGGUAUUAAGCUGUUAUCUUAAUCACAUUUCGUUCUAGACCUCCUUGGAUGGAGUUUAGGGUUUCUUGGUUUGGUCAUGGAGCUAUUUAUGGGGUAUAAGCUCAGAUCUGAAGUUGUAACUUCAGAUCUGAACUCUCUGUGAAUUGUAAGACCAUAAAGCUUUCAUUCUUGGCAAGUAUGAACUCCUCCCUAAGUGUAAAACCCCAUUUCAAGCUUAGUUUUGGCACUUUGAGUCAAUAAAGCCUUGCAUGCACGUAAAGUUUACAACUUUACGUGAUAAGCAUGCUUAAGGAAGUUGGAUCUGCAAUUUAGGGCCUUGCCAUGGCUUAAAAAGUCUCUGCAUGGUGAAAUGACUGAAGGGACUCGGCGAGUCGCAUAGUCGACUCGGCGAGUCAUAUGAAAAUAUGCAUUGAACUCGACGAGUUGGAUGAACAACUCGACGGGUACGAUGAAGAUUGCCAUAGACUCGACGAGUUGGAUGAACAACUCGGAGAGUCAGUUAAGGUUUCCCAAUUGAUGAAUGCGCGUGAACUUGUUGAGUUGCAAGAAGGAAAAGUCGACAAGUGGCCUUAGAGCUUCGAUCGCGAACCUUAGGAACUCAACGAGUCACCUAGUGACUCGGCGAGUGGUCAAGUAUCUCAAGGAACUCGGCGAGUAGCCGAGGGUACUCGACGAGUUAGGUUUAACAUGGACUGUUGACUUUGACUUUGACCAGGGGGUGAGUAGUUGACUUAUGGGGUACCUUGAAAGGUUGGGAACUUAUGGGUAUGAUUAUAUUAUGGUAAUAGGUGGUGGAGUUGUUGACAGCGAUUCAAGAGUUGGAGUUCAUCUACCGAGUCGACAUUUGCAAGGUGAGUUAUCCUCACUAUAUCGAUAGGGUCUACGACACCAAGUGUCACACCCCAAAACAAAACGGCGGAAACAUUCGGGGGCGGAGGAUGUCAUGUCAAGUAUCAUAGCAAAUGAAUAGUAAAGAAAGCACACACCACCAUAAUAUAAAUAUAUUUGAAAAGUUUACAUGAUCGUAUGUGUUACAUGUUUGAAUAUCAAAUACAAUAUGGUGAUCCAACAUAUGUUAUUAAUGCCAGCGCGUUAGUCUUCAAAAGUAGUUGCUACCUGGUUUAGUGGUUUCCAGUGAAUACAAGUUAUUUCAAAGAAAAAGUGUUAACAAUAAAGUUGGUGAGUUCAUAAGUAGUGUUUUGAGAAAAUGAAUGUCAUUCGAAAGUUCGUGUAUGCUUUCCAGAAAAUCCCUUAUUUUCUAUUAGAUGUAUGAAAGAUCGUUGUAUAAACUGUAUGUAUUUGAACCAGGAAAAUCCCUUAUUUUCCUAAAAAGUGAAAUGCAAUCUCAAAUGACCAAGACCGUAAGCUGUAAGCAACUAUGACAUGCUCAAAAGAAUGAUGUAUAAUCUUAUUAUAAAAUAAUAAGAUAAGAAGAUCGUAUUUGUAAAUGAAAAGUGACUGUAACAGUCAUUUUCCCCGUGAAAACAAAAUACCAUAAUCAUUGUCUAUCUCAUGAGUUUUCAUAACCGUACUAUCAUACUUUACCUGUAGCGACGUUCUUCAGGCGUCGAAAUGAGAUGACACUUGUCACCCCGGGGACUGUAGCGAGCAGUCAGGGCGCGGGAUCAUUAGUCCUGUAUAGAUCUAUACACACUUGUCACGUUUUACAGACGGGAGAUUCUGGUUAUAAACAGGACUUCUAGUGGUACCUUAAUAGGUAUAAUGAAGAUGAAUGACUCACAUAUUCUCAAAUAAGUUUGUAUUCUUGAAAAUGAUGAUUUUGUAUGAAAUGAUUUCCCUUUUUCCACAAUAUUAAUAAAGGUAUAAUAAAAGGAGUAUGAUCUUGUAUGUAUAAGAAUGUUAUACUGAAAAUGAUUACCCUUGAUAUGAUACAAAAGUAUAAAUAAGCUUAUAGUAUUUAUAAUCAUGUUUUAUCCCGAGAGGGUAAAGUAAGGUAAGAUGUCUUGCAUGUUAACAGAUCCCUAUGAUAGUUAUUAAAAAACAGUCUGAAAUGUAUAACGAAAGAGAGAUGUUUUCAGACAAGAUUAACCGUGUGUUUACUUGUAUUCUCCCCCGUAAUGUGUUAAAAGCAUUUAAAAAGUAUUUAAAAGCGUAGAAAUGGGGUAUCAACUCACCUGGUAGUUUGAAGAAAGUGAAACAAAAAUCAAGCAGAACUUCGACUAGAGAAAACUGAUUUUAUCAGGAUUCUCGGGAAUCUUGGGAGCGUAAAACUUCCUUUCGAACUUAAAUAUAAAAACCGGGACUUCGGGAUGGCUCCGAGGGUUUUAAUGCAAAGCUUCGGCACGAGAAAGAGAAGAAAUGAGCAAAUAAUACCAAAACCCUUGCACCCUUUUUAUAGAGGCUGAAACCCCCUUGUACACGGGGCGUACUCACCCCAGUUAUGUUAGGCGUAAUGAUUCGUCAUCGCAUGCGUAGCUCGGACCUGAUAGACGAUGGGAAAUCCUGUUGGCCGAUGGUAUGAGGCUCAUAUCCACUGGUACGCUGGGCAUAACUAGCUACGCGGGGCGUAGUUUGAAUUUCCAAACUUCUAAAUUGUGUAACUUUUGCGUAGGAGCUCCGUUUUCGCGUUAUUUAUGUCCACGCGUAGGUGAGACUGUACUCUACAACUUUCAUUUAGACUCCAACAGCUAGUUUUGAGUUUAUUUUUAAUUAUUUAUUUUUAAUAGGUCGGGACACGAAAAGUCCGUUUAAAAUCCGUAGCUUCUUUAUCCGAUGUCCGUUUUCGACAGACUUUUCACCGUUGUGCUACUAUUGUUAAGGAAUUUUUUUAUCGUUUUGGUUGUUUCGGCCAAAAAUCUCUCGAUCUCUAUUUUGAGUUUUUAGUUGUCUAAUGUUAUGUCCGAAACUUAGAAAAAUCAUAACUUUCUCAUACGAAGUCAGAUUUGGACGUUCUUUUUAUGCACAUUCAUGGUUUAGUAUAAUCUAUGAAUUUCGUUUAGAUUCCUAAGCCUAAAAAGUAUUUUAUUGAAAUUUCACUUUUUACCUUUAUCAGGGUUUUACUGGUUUUCACACAAAUCUUCGUUGGUCAUAACUUCCUUAUUAUAACUCAUAUUCGAGUGUUUUGAAUAUUUCUGAAAACCGUGACACGAUAUCUAUCAUUUAGGCAUCCCAAUUAUGACUUUCUGAACAUUUUAUUUUCGAAGCUAUUUUAUUAACUUAAAAAUGGGUUACAAGGUUUGACUGGAAGUCCUUACAUUGGUUUGAAAUUUCGGGUUGUCACAUCAUCCCCCCGUUAGAGGGAAUUUCUUCCCGAAAUUAUUUACAAAGACAAGUGUUUAUGGACUAGGGAAGAGAUGCGGGUACUUUCGUUGCAUCUGAUAUUCUCGCUCCCAAGUGAAUUCAGGUCCCCAUUUAGCAUUCCAGUGAACCUUCACUAUUGGUAUGCGACUCUGUUUAGUUCGUUUGAUCUCCCUAUCCAUGAUCUCGACGGGUUCUUCCACGAAGUUAAGAUUUUCAUUUAGUUCGAUUUCCUCGAGUGGAAUUACAAGAGUUUUGACGGAUAGACACUUCUUCAAGUUAGACACAUGAAACACCGGAUGCACUUUGUUAAGUUCGAUUGGAAGUUGAAGCCUAUAAGCUACUGGACCAAUCCUUGUAGUAAUUUCGAAAGGUCCAAUGUACCUUGGGUUUAGUUUUCCAUGCUUCCUGAAGCGUAUCAUGCCUUUCCAGGGUGAGACCUUCAGUAGAACGCGGUCACCAACCUGAAAUUCCAAGGGUUUUCGUCUUUUGUCGGCAUAGUUCUUUUGUCUAUCUCUCGAGGCUUUCAGUCGUUCUCGAAUUUGAACGAUCUUUUCAGUCGUUUCCCUGAUAAUUUCCGGACCAGUGAGAGUGCUAUCCGGAACUAGACCUUUUGCCAACCGCGUGUCGCCCACUUUCGCCCAGCACAGAGGAGACCUGCACUUGCGGCCGUAAAGGGCUUCAAAUGGAGCAGUCUUGAUGCUAGUGUGAUAACUGUUGUUAUAGGAGAACUCAACUAAUGGUAGGUGGAUGUCCCACGCUUUACCAAAGUUGAUUACACAUGCUCGCAACAUGUCUUCUAGUGUUUGGAUCGUUCUCUCACUCUGGCCGUUAGUCUGUGGGUGAUAGGCUAUACUCAUAUCUAGCCUAGUUCCCAAGGCUUUCUGCAGCGUCUGCCAGAACCUUAAGUGAACCUACUGUCUCUGUCCAAGAUGAUUGAUAUUGGUACUCCGCACGAUUUCUCGGACGUAGGUUCUUGUUAGUUUCUCCAUCUUAUUGGUCUCCUUGAUAGGCAAGAAGUGGGCAGAUUUGGUUAACCUGUCGACGAUCGCCCAAAUGGUAUCGUGACCACCUAGCGUAUUGGGUAGUUUGGUUAUGAAGUCCAUGGAAAUCUGCUCCCACUUCCACUCAGGUAUUUCGGGCUGAUGGAGUAGUCAUGAGGGCUUCUGAUGUUCUACUUUGAUCUUGGCGCAAGUCAAGCACUUGCCCACAUAGGUAGCAAUUUCUGCUUUCAUGUUUGGCCACCAGUAGAGUUGCUUGAGAUCCAGAUACAUCUUAUCUGAACCUAGGUGCAUAGAGUAUGGGGUCUUGUGUGCUUCAUCCAUAAGCAUUAAUCUGAACCCACCGAACUUUGGUGUCCAGAUUUGGUUCAUGAGGUAACGAACUCCGCCGCUCUUGAUUUCAAGAUUGUUAUCCAUCCCUCUAAGUGCUUCACCUGUCAUGUUUUCGGGUUUCAAGGCUUCCAUUUGAGCUUUCUUGAUUUAUACUGACGGGUAUGAAUGGAUUGUCAUGGUUAAUGAUUUCACUCUUCGACCAGGGUACUCCUUACGACUAAGAGCAUUUGGCACCACAUUGGCUUUGCCCGGAUGAUAACGAAUCUCACAUUCGUAGUCAUUUAGUAGUUCGACCCAAUGUCGUUGUCUCAUACUUAAUUCUUUUCGAUUGAAUAUAUGUUUAAGACUUUAUGGUCUGUGAAGAUGGUGCACUUUGUACCGUAUAGGUAGUGCCUCUAGAUCUUCAGAGCGAAUACCACUACUCCCAGUUCUAAGUCGUGAGUGGUGUAGUUGACCUCAUGUGUUUUCAGUUGUCGUGAGGCGUACGUAAUAACCUUUCCUCGCUGCAUUAGCACACAACCUAGCCCCCGAUUGGAAGCAUCGCAAUAUACUACGAAGUCUUCUGUCCCCUCUGGAAGGGACAAGAUGGGUGCACUGCACAGGGCUUGCUCCAAGGUCUGAAAUGCGGUAUCUUGUUUUUCUUCCCAUUUGUAGGCUACACCCUUCUGAGUCAGGGAGGUAAGACGUUUUGCAAUGCUGGAGAAGUUUUGUAUGAACCUACAGUAAUAGCCAGUGAGGCCUAGGAAUUGGCGAAUCUUGGUUGGCGUUGUGGGCGCAGCCUAAUUCUCGAUAGCCUUGAUCUUAGAAGGGUCCACGUGGAUUCCCUCUUCGCUAACCACGUGCCCCAAGAAGUCCACCUUCCUAAUCCCUCUUCGCUGACCACGUGGAUUCCCUCUUCUCAGCUCGUAAUGUCUCUAAGACUUGUCUCAGGUGUUGACCAUGUUCUUCUCUACUCUUUGAAUAUAUGAGUAUGUCAUCUAUGAACACAAUCACGAAUUUGUCCAGGAAGGAACGACAUACCCAAUUCAUUAAGUCCAUGAACACGGCAGGGACGUUGGUUAGUCCGAACAACGUUACUACAAAUUCAUAGUGACCGUAUCUUGUUCGGAAAGCCGUCUUGGGAAUAUCACCUUCCAGGACUCGUAGCUGGUGAUAUUCCGAUCUCAGAUCGAUCUUGGAAAAAUAGUUUGCUCCUUGCAGUUGGUCGAAUAGAUCGUCUAUUCAUGGUAGGGGAUACCGGUUCUUGAUGGUAAGCUUGUUGAGUUCUCGGUAAUCGAUACACAUUCUGAAGGAUCCGUCCUUCUUUUUCACGAACAGUACUAGCGCUCCCCAUGGCGAGAAACUUGUCCGGAUGAAUCCUUUGCCGAGCAGCUCGUUCAAUUGGCUAGAUAGUUCUUGCAUUUCCGUUGGGGUUAAGCGAUACGGUGCCUUGGCUACAGGAGUAGCUCCUGGAAUUAGGUCAAUCCUAAACUCCACUUGUCUUGUAGGGGGUACUCCUGGAAGAUCCUCCGGAAAGACAUCGGGAAAAUUACUUACGUCAAGCACGCCCUUGAUGUCUUUUACUUCUCGUUUCAUAUCUAUGACAUGUGCCAAAAAUGCGUGGCAUUCCUUACGCAAGUACUUUUGAGCCUUGAUGCAGGAGAUAAUGCAAAGAGUGGUGUUAGGCUUAUUGCCAUAUAUAAUAUGGGUUUCGCCAUUUGGCAGAUUAAGGCGAACGGACUUUUCGUAACAUAAGAUGUCCGCACGAUGAGCUCUCAGCCAGUCCAUGCCAAUGAUGACGUCGAAACUUUUUAUUGAGACUGACAUAAGGUUGACCGGGAAAGACUUGUUGUUUAGUGAGAGGGUACAAUUUAAGUAUAUUUCUUUAGCACCUUCUGUUUUACCGUUAGCCAUUUCUAUUAUAAAUGUUUCACUUAGCGAUUGAGGUGUUGAUUUGAGUAGAUUUUUAAAAUUAUGGCUCACGAAACUCUUCUCCGCUCCACUAUCAAACAAAAUGUAUGCACAUGAGUUAUCGAGGAGAAACGUACCCGUAACAACAGUGGGAUCUGCAACGGCUUCCUCCUGGCCUAUUGCGAAUACUCGGCCUCUCCCGCCAACAUUCUUGUUGUUUGCCUUCGGACAGUCCUUUCGGAAGUGUCCUGUAGCUCUGCACUCGAGGCAGGUGCGGCCUACCCCGACAUUUGCGGCUGGAAUGCCUGAUUGGGCUGGUUUUAACAACCAAAAAAUUUACGCCAAAUUUAAACUUUUUCAAUCAUAAAUAACACCCAAUAGCAUUGUUUACAGAAAAUGGUUUCAAAUCAUUAUUCAAUCAGUGUGUCCCAUAAGCCAGAUCAUAAGGAUGAGGAGCGGUACGGUCAUGCCUUCGCCUUGCCAUGAUCUCCUAAAGUACCUGAAACAAUAACUGAAAAAUGUAAGCCCGAGGGCUUAGUGAGCUACCCCCAAAAUACCAAUACCACACUGAUAAUAUCAUAUUAGCAGUAAUCAAUCAAUCAACAUGCAUACUGGGCCAUCGGCCUGACUGGACCGCCCUACAGGGCCUACAGUCUAGCUGAAUUUAUAUCGAGCCUUCGGCAUGACUAGACCGUCACGUGGCCUACAGUCUCCCCGGACCGCUCAUAGGGUAUGUUGGCCUUCAACACAAAGCAGGACCGCCUCCACCCAACCAACGAGCAAAUAAUCAGGUACGCAUAGCUAACAUACACUGGCAUAUACAUACAUCAAACAUAUCUAAUUCACUAAUCAUCAAUCAUAGCAAUCUCUCAUGACUAGAGCACCGACCUAGCAGGCCACUAACAUACCAAUCCCUAAGGAUCAUAAAAGCAUAACAUACUGUCUAUCCUGAUUCAGAUCUAUCAGAUCAUAACCACAUAUAUCAUAUCAUAUCUAUAACAACUAAAGCGCCGGCCUUGGUGCCUUAGACCCUUGUGAUAUAGAGAGGAUAACUCACCUCGCAGAUGUCGACUCUGUAGAUAAACUACAACUCUCGGAUCACUUGCCCAAGACUCCACCACCUAUUACCAUAAUAUGAAUAUACCCAUAAGUCCACAACCUUACAAGGUACUCCCUAAACCAAGCAGUCAACCCCUGGUCAAGGUCAAAGUUCUCAGUCAAGGUCAACAGUCCAUGUUGACCUUAACUCGCCAAGUACCCUCGGCUACUCACCGAGUUCCUUGAAGUAUUUUCCCACUCGUCGAGUCACCGGGGUGACUUGUAGAGUUCCUUCGGUCUACGAUCGAAACUCUACGGCCACUCGUCAAAUUUCCUUCAUGCAACCCGACGGAUACGCACACAUACAUAACUUGGAGAAAUCUCAUCCGAAUCGCCGAGUUGUUCAAACAACUCGUCGAGUCUAUGACAAUCUUCAACGGACUCGCCGAUUUGUUAUUCCAACUCGUUGAGUUCACGCCUAUCUUCAUAUGACUCGCCGAGUCCCUUUAGUCCUUUUGCCAUAUAGACUCAUUUGAGUCAUGCAGCGGCUCCAAACUACAGAUCCAAGCUUCUAAGGCAUGGUUUUCACGUAAAGUUGCAAACUAUACGUUCAUGCAUAGCUAUAAAGGCUCUAAAUGUCCAAUCCAAGCCCAUCAUGGGGUUUCCUACCCAAGGAAGGUUUCAUUCACGUCCAAACGAGAAACUUUAUGACUCUAGGACUUGAGAAGGGUCUAGAUCUGAAGUUACAACUUCAGAUCUAGCCCAUAGUCCACCUUAUCAACUCAAAGAUCCAUAAAAGCCCCAAAACUCAACCAAAAAGUGGUCUAGAAGGGAAAAGAAGUAAAGGUGGCGACUUGAUACCUCUAGAAGAUGCUAGCUGAGGUAGAUUCUUAUUGCCACACUUUCCUGGAUCCAAUUCCUUCGCCUUCCAAGUUCCUUCUCUCCUAAGAUCUUCCUCCCAAGCUUAAUACACCCACAAUAAAGCACCACAUGAAUUAGGGUUUCUUAAGAGCUCUCUAGAACUGUAAAGAGGCCAAAGGAGGCUUAAGCCUCCUUAAAUAGGAUGCAAAACGCCAGGAUUUAGGGUUUCAUCAGCCAGCUCCAACUCGGCGAGUUCCUUCAUGGACUCGGCGAGUGGGUCACUAAACACACGAUUCCACCCCGCUACUACUCGACGAGUAAGGCAACCGACUCGUCGAGUAGGACUUAAACCAAAGAAAUCAAUAUCUGAGAUUCGGGGCAUUACAAUUCUCCUCCACUUGAACUAGACUUUGCCCUCGAAGUCCUCUGGAAUAAACAAUGUCGGGUCGUGCUCGCGCAUCUCCGCCUCCGGCUCCCAUGUCCACUCAGAUCCCCUCGGAUGUUCCCACUGUACCUUCACCAAAGGUAUUUCCUUGUUCCGUAAAAUCUUAUUUCUCCUCUCCAAGAUGGAAACAGGCCUCUCCACGUAAUUCAGGCGGUCAUCGACCUGAACAUCAUCCAGCGAUACUACUGCCUCCUAGUCCAUGAUGCACUUUCGCAACUGCGAAACAUGGAACUUGUUGUGGAUCCGGCUAAGCUCCGUCGGAAGCUCAAGCCUAUAAGUCACUUUUCCAACCGUGGCAAUGAUCCUGAACGGCCCAAUAUAACGGGGUCCCAAUUUUCCUAUCUUCUUGAAACGGAUCACACCCUUCCAGUGCGAGACCUUCUAAAGUACCAUGUCACCCACCUAAAAUUCAACUCGGAUCGGCGUCAUUCGUCAUAACUUUUCUGCCGACUCUGAGCGAUCUGUAAUCGCUGUCUAACCUGUUGUAUCUUUUCAGUAGUUUGCAGAACUACCUCUAUCCGACCCAUCACCCUGUGCCUAACCUCACCCCAGCAGACUGGGGUUUUACACCUCCGCCCAUACAACAACUCAAAAGGCAGGGCGCCAAUAAUGGAAUGAUAGCUGUUGUUGUAGGCGAAAUCUGCAGGCGAUAGGUGGGAAUCCCAACUCCCACCGAAGUCAAUGACACACGCCCUCAACAUAUCCUCUAGGGUCUAAAUGGUUCGCUCACUUUGUCCAUCGGUCUACGGAUGGAACAUUGUACUAAAGUGCAGCCGCGUACCCAGUUCUUCAUGGAACUUCUGCCAAAAACGGGAAGUAAACCUGACAUCCUGAUCGGAAACGAUGGAGACUGGAACCCCAUGACGAGAGACAAUCUCGUUGACGUACAUGUUGGCCAAUUUCUUUGCCGACGAACUCUCCCGUAUGGCCAAGAAAUGGGCACUCUUGGUCAAUCGAUGACCCAUAUAACAUCGAACCCCUUCGACGUCCUCGGCAACUUAGUAAUGAAGUCCAUUGUGAUCUACUCCCAUUUCCACAUGGGAAUCUCCAGAGGCUGCAGCUUACCAUGCGGCCUCUAAUGCUCGGCCUUGACCAUCCUACAGGUCAGGCACCUCUCAACUUGCCAAGCGAUUUCUCGCUUCAUACCGGGCCACCAGUAACUCAAACUCAUAUUGCGGUACAUCUUGGUGUCCCCCGGGUGAAUGGAAAAGUGAGACUUAUGAGCCUCCUUCAUCACUGUCCGUCGAACCCCUCCGGAUGUCGGAACCCAGACCCGACCAUAUCGAGUCAAUAAUCCGCGACUAUCCUGAACAAACCGGGCGCUCUCGCCCUUAAUCCUUUCUAACUUCCAGUUCUCUGAUCCCAUAUCCUCAACCUGAGCAUCCCUAAUCAAGCUCACAAGUGGGGAAUCCACCGUUAUCCUCAUACACCUUGCUAGAGUAGAAGACCCAGCUGACUUGCAGCUCAAAGCAUCUGCAACCACAUUCACCUUACCAGGAUGGUAAAGGAUCGCACAAUCAUAGUCCUUGACCACAUCCAGCUACCUGCACUGCCUCAUGUUUAGGUUCGGCUGAUCCAUGAUGUGUCUCAAACUCUUGUGAUUCGUAUAUAUAGUGCAACGGAACCCGUACAGAUAAUGCCUCCAAAUAUUGAGAGAGAAAACCACCACUCCCAACUCAAGAUCGUGCAUAGGGUAUCUCGUCUCAUGUGGCUUUAGCUGCCGCGAUGCAUAAGCUAUCACUCAUCCCCUUUGCAUGAGGACUGCCCUCACGCCCGAGAUGGAUGCAUCACGGUAUACUACAAAAUCCUCGACUCCCUCGGGGAGUGUCAACACCGGCGCCUCGCAUAAACACCGUCGGAGGGUCUCAAACGCCCUCUGCUGCUUAGGGCCCCACCAGAAAUCCACUCCCUUCCUCGUUAAACGAGUGAGGGGUAUUGCAAUCUUGCAGAAAUCUCGAAUAAAUCUCCGGUAGUUCCCUGUUAAACCCAAGAAACUUCUGAUGUCUGAGGGAGAUUUCAGAAUCUCCCACUGCAUAACCGCCUCUACCUUGGCCGGAUCGACCAAAAUCCCCUCUUGGUUAACGAGAUGUCUGAGGAACUGGACCUCUCAUAACCAAAACUCAGACUUCAAGAACUUGGCAUAUAGCUGUUCUCACCGCAAAACCUUGAGUAGCUCCCUGAGAUGCUCCUCGUGCUGCUCUCGAGUCUUGGAAUACACCAAGAUAUCAUCUAUAAACGCAAUGACUGAGCGAUCAAGCAUCGGUCUACAAACUCGGUUCAUUAAAUCCGUGAACACUGUCGGUGCGUUGGUGAGCCGAAAUGGCAUCAUUACGAACUCUAGUGACCAUAACGAGUCUGAAACGCGGUCUUCUCCACGUCUUCCUCCCUUACCCUGAGCUGGUGAUAACCGAACCUCAAAUCGAUCUUGGAGAACCAAGAUGCACCCUGCAGCUGAUUGAAAAUAUCAUCUAUCCUUGGGAGUGGAAAACGGUUCUUCACCGUUAACUUUUCCAACUCCCUAUAGUCAAUGAACAUCCUGUACGAACUGUCCUUCUUCCUGACGAAGAGGAGGUGCUCCCCAGGGUGAACUACUCAGACAAAUAAACUGCUUACCCAGCAGCUCUUGCAGCUGAGAUGACAGCUCCUGCAUCUCAGGCGGUGCCAGACGGUAUGGUGCCUUGGCGAUAGGGGCCGCACCCGACACUAGAUCAAUCCUGAACUUAACCUGCCUCUCCGAAGGCACACUGGGUAACUCCUCCGGAAACACGUCAGCAAAUUCCCUAACCACCAGGACCUCUGAGACCGAGGGUUGCUCCCUAACCCGCGUAUCUACCACAUACGUUAAAUAACCAGCACACCCGUGCUGAAUAUACUGCCGAGCCCUGGCUGCCGAACAAAACCCUGAUCCAAUCCUUGUGCCCUUGCCACAUACCACCAGUUUUCCCCCACUUGGGGUGCAAACCACCACUCGCUGUCCCACACAGUUGAUCAUGGCACCGAAUCGACUGAGCCAAUCCAUCCCUACUAUCACGCAUACUUCCCCCAUGGGAAUAGGUAUCAAAUCUAUCGGGAAGGAUACCCCGAAAAUAUCCAAAUUGCAUCCCCGAUAGACCGAAGAAGCAGAAACCUCGUGCUCGUUGGCGAUCGAAACUCGCAACGGACACUGAAGCUCAUCUAUCGGCACACUGAACCCUCUACUGAAAGUCUAAGAUACAAACGACCGACUCGCUCCCGAGUCGAAUAAUACCAAAGCAGGCAAAGAAUUUACCAAAAACGUUCCUAAACACACGUUCAACCAAUAAGCAUAACACAUACAUAAUAACUGGAACAGAAAAAUAGAAACAUACCAACAACUACCUCCCACUCGACAAACCCCAGAAUGAUCCCGACCAUACUUUCUACAAGUGCGGCUCUGCUAACCCUCGGUCCGAGUAUCAGCGGUCUUAGAUUGCUUAGGUGCCAGCUGAGACUGUACCGGAACCUGACGCUGCUCCCUCAACUACAGCUCAAUCUCUAACUCACGCCGCCUCGCGGCUUCCUGAAGAUCCAGGAGGGUAUCACAACGCUGUGUAGCCACAAACUGUCGAAUAUCCGUCUUGAGCAUACUCAGAUAACGAGUCAUUUGUGACCACUUUGAAGCAAACUCCGAGCAGAACAUAGCCCUCUCUGUGAACAUACGAGUAAUCUCCAUCAUAGACUCCCCAUCAUGCCUGUCACACCACCAAACCAGAACGGCGGAAACGUUCGGGGGCGGAGGACGUCAUGUUCAAUAUCAUAACAGUUCAUAGAAAGGAAAGUACACACCACCAUAUAUAUAAAGGUUUUCAAAGUGUUUACAUAAUUGUAUUCGUUACAUGUUCAAAAGAUAAAUACAUAAAUAUCUUUCAAAAGAAGUAAUCAACGUCAACGCGUUAAUCCCCAAAAGUUGAUUUCCAAACCUGCUUAGCGGUUCCCUGAGAAUACAAGUUAUUUCAAAGAAAAGUGUCAACAAUUAAGUUGGUGAGUUCAUAAGCGGUUUUGAGAAAUUGUAUGCCAUUCCAAAAUGAGUGUAUAUUUUCCAAGAAAAUCCCUUAUUUUCUUAUAAAAGUAUGAAAUGCAUGAAAAUAUUUGUGUUGUAAAAUGUAGAUAGUUGAAUCAAGAAAAUCCCUUAUUUUCCUAUUAGUUGUUUGUUUUGUAUACAGGAAAAUCCCAUAUUUUCCUAAAGUAACAAGUAGUCUAAUGUCCAAUACUAAAAACCGAAAGCAAUUGACAUGCUUUAGAAGAUUGAAGCAUAUUUUUAUAUAAUAAAACCUAUAAGAAGAUCGUAGUUGUUAGAUAAAGAGUAGUUUUAAUAGCUACUCAUUCAUAAUCCAGAAGUACUAUAAUAAUUGUAUAUCCGAUGAGUUUUAUAACCAUACUAAACAUAAUAUGUCUAUAGCGACGUUCUUCAGGCGUCGUAGCGUUAUGACAAACUGUCACCCCAAAGGACGGACUGUAGCUAUCAGUCAGGGCGCGGGAUCAUGACUUCCCGUAUAGAUCUAUACACAUUUGACAUGUUCCCCCAAUGGGAGACUCUGGUUAUAGACAGGACUUGAAGUGGUGCCUUUUAGCAAAAAGGUAGUAUUUGAAGAUGUACAUGUCUCACCGAUUCUCAACUAAGUCUAUAUUAAAGUAGUAGUUUUGUAUGCAAAGUGUAUCCUUUUUCACAAUGUUUGACAAAGCAUAAGUCAUAAGUUCUUUGAAUGCAUAAAACGGUUUAACAAUGAUGGCUACUUCGGAUACUAUGUACUUUGUAUAAAUCUAGUGUAUGUAAAGUGUAACAAGAGUUUUCAUAUAAUAGUUAUGAAACACAUAUGAUUCAUUUGAUAAAAAAAGUAAAGUGAAACUUUAUGUAACACACGAUAAUAACCGUGUGUUUACUUGUAUUCUCCCCCGAAAUGUAUUAAACAUACAUUAUAAAGUAUUUGAAAGUGUAUGAAAGGGGGUAUGAACUCACUUGAUAGAUUGAAGAAGGUGAGACGAAAACCGAGCAGAACUUUGACUUGAAAAAGCGGAUUUUCUCGGGAAUCUCGGGAGCGUAAAACUUUCUUCGGGGCCUAAAUAUGGGAACCGGGGCUUCGGGAUAAAUAUUGCACGGAAAACGAGGCAAAAAUGCAAGAAAGAUGAGAUGAAACGAGCAAUUUCCCCGGAACCCUCGCAUCCCUUUUAUAGGGGGGGUGAACCGCCUCGGUACGCUGGGCGUACGCGUGCGUCAAGCGUGACCGAGUCCUCGACUGCCUCGGAGCCCGGAUGGGACGGGGCAUAGCCUCACAUAGGGGGCGACGUGGACGACCUGGGGCCUAGUCCUUGAGUACGCUGGGCGUACGAGGGUAUGCUGGGCGUAACUCGGAUGGACCCGGUGACUCCUCCUUCGGAUGAUACCGAAUUUUUAUUUAAAUUUAUCCUUUUAUUAAUUAGUAAACUUCAAAAAUUCAUAUCUUCUCCAUACGAACUCCGUUUUCUACGUUCUUUAUAUCCACGAAUAGGUGAGACUACGCUCUACGACUUUCAUUUAGACUCCGUCGGCUAAUUUUGAAUUUAAUUUUAUUAUUUAUUUUUAAAAGGUCGGGACAGGAAAAGUUCGUUAAAAAUUCAUAACUUCUUCAUACGAAGUCAGAUUUGGGCGAUCUUUUUAUGUAUGUUCGUGGUUUAAUGAUAUAUAUGACUUUCAUUUAGAUACCUAAGGUCAAAAAGUACUUUAUUGAAAUUUCUCGUUUUAUGCUUAACAACGUUUUACCGUUAGUUGUUACGAAUCUUUGAUUGGUCAUAACUCCUUCGUUAUAACUCGGAUUUUUGUGUUCUUUAUAUUUUUGGAAACCUUAACACGCCAUCUACCACUUAGUGUACUCAAACAGGGGUUUUUUGAACAUUUCAUUUUUGAUGAUAUUCCUUAUAAUUUCACAAAGAGAUUACAAGACUCGACUUUUUAGCCAUUUCAUUGACUUGAAAUAACGGGUUGUUACAUCAUCCCCCCGUUAGAGGGAAUUUCGUCUCGAAAUUUAAUACUAAAUAAGUGUCAAUGGACUAGGGAAGAGAUGCGGGUACUUUUGUUGCAUCUGAUCUUCUUGUUCCCAAGUGAAUUCAGGUCCUCGCUUAGCGUUCCAGCGAACCUUCACUAUUGGUAUGCGACUUUGUUUAGUUCGCUUGAUUUCCCUAUCCAUGAUCUUGACGGGUUCUUCCACAAAGUUAAGAUUUUCGUUAAGUUUGAUUUCGUCGAGUGGAAUCACAAGAGUUUCGUCGGACAAACACUUUUUCAGGUUCGAUACGUGGAAUACUGGAUGUACCUUGUUAAGCUCGAUUGGAAGUUGGAGUUUGUAAGCCACUGGACCAAUUCUUGAAAUAAUUUCGAAGAGUCCAAUGUACCGAUGAUUUAGCUUUCCACGCUUUCCAAAGCAUAUCAUGUCGUUCCAGGGUGAGACCUUUAGCAGAACGCGGUCACCAAUCUGAAAUUCUAAGGGUUUACGUCUUUUAUCGGCAAAGCUCUUUUGCCUAUCUCUUGAGGCUUUCAGUCGUUCUCGUAUUUGAAUGAUCUUUUCAGUCAUUUCUCUAAUGAUCUCCGGACCAGUGAGAGUGCUAUCAGGGAGUAGACCUUUUGCCAACUGCGUGUCGCCUACUUCCGUCCAGCACAGAGGUGACCUGUACUUACGGCCAUAAAGGGCUUCAAAUAGAGCAGUCCUGAUACUAGUAUCAUAACUGUUGUUAUAAGAGAACUUGACUAAAGGUAAGUGAACGUCCCACGCUUUACCAAAGUCGAUUACACAUGCUCGCAACAUGUCUUCUAGGGUUUGGAUCGUUCUCUCACUCUAUCCGUCAGUUUGUGGGUGAUAGGUUGUACUCAUAUCCAACCUUGUUCCCAUGGAUUUUUGCAAUGAUUGCCAGAAUCUGAAAGUAAAUCUGCUGUCUCUGUCUGAGAUGAUAGACAUCGGCACUCCAUGAAGUUGCACGAUCUCUCGGAUGUAGGUUCUUGAUAUUUUUUCCAUUUUAUCAGUUUCCUUGAUCGGUAAGAAAUGAGCAGACUUGGUUAGCCUGUCGACGAUCACCCAAAUAGUAUCUUGGCCACCCUGAGUUUUGGGUAGUUUUGUUAUGAAGUCCAUGGAAAUCUGUUUCCAUUUCCAGUCAGGUAUUUCAGGUUGAUGGAGUAGGCCUGAGCACUUCUGGUGUUCUAUUUUUAUCUUGGCGCAAGUUAAGCACUUGCUCACAUAGGUGGCAAUUUCUGCUUUCAUGUUUGGCCACCAGUAGAGUUGCUUGAGAUCUAGAUACAUCUUAUCUGACCCUGGGUGCACGGAGUAUGGAGUCUUGUGUGCUUCGUUCAUAACUACCUCUUUGAACCCACCAAAAUUGGGUGUCCAAAUUCGGUUCAUGAGGUAGCGUACUCCGUCACUCCAGAUUUCUAGGUUCUUGUCCAUUCCUCUAAGGGCUUCGCCUGUCAUGUUCUUGGGUUUCAAGGCUUCUAUUUGAGCUUCCUUGACUUGUGCUGACAGAUGCGAAUGGAUUGACAUGGUUAAGGACUUCACUCUUCGCCCAGAGUACUCCUUACGACUAAGGGCCUCAGCCACAACAUUUGCCUUUCCCGGAUGAUAGCGAAUCUCACAUUCGUAGUCGUUGAGCAAUUCGACCCAACGUCGUUGUCUCAUGUUUAAUUCCUUAUGGUCGAAUAUGUGUUGAAGGCUUUUGUGGUCUGUAAAGAUGGUGCAUUUUGUACCGUAUAGGUAGUGCCUCCAGAUUUUCAGAGCGAAGACCACCGCUCCAAGUUCUAAGUCAUGAGUGGUGUAGUUGACUUCAUGUUUUUUUAGUUGUCGUUAGGCAUAUGCAAUAACCUUUCCUCUCUGCAUUAGUACACAGCCCAGCCCUUGUUUCGAAGCGUCGCAAUAGACCACAAAAUCUUCGGUCCCCUUUGGAAGAGAAAGAAUGGGCGCACUACAAAGGGCCUGUUUCAGAGUCUGAAAUGCAACAUCUUGCUUUUCUCCCCAGCUGUAGGUCACACCUUUCUGAGUUAGGGCGGUAAGAGGCUUUGCGAUGCUGGAGAAGUUCUGAAUGAACCUUCGAUAAUAACCAGAAAGACCUAGAAAUUGGCGAAUCUUUGUUGGUGUAUUUGGUGCAGACUAAUUUUUGAUAGCUAUGAUUUUAGAUGGGUCCAUGUGGAUUCCUUCCUUGCUGACCACGUGACCGAGGAAGUCCACCUUUCUAAUCCAAAACUCGCAUUUUGAGAACUUCGCAUAAAGUCUCUUAGUUCGUAACGUCUCUAAGACUUGUCUCAGAUGUUGGCUAUGCUCUUCUUUAUUGUUUGAAUAAAUGAGUAUGUCGUCUAUGAAUACUAUCACAAAUUUAUCCAAGAAUGGAUGACAUACCCGAUUCAUUAGAUCCAUGAAUACGGCCGGGGCAUUGGUUAGUCCGAACGGCAUCACUACGAACUCGUAAUGCCCGUAUCUUGUUCGGAAGGCCGUCUUGGGAACAUCACUCUCCAGGACUCGCAGCUGGUGAUAUCCUGAUCUCAGAUUGAUCUUGGAGAAGUAGUUGGCUCCUUGGAGUUGGUCGAACAAGUCAUCGAUUCGGGGUAGGGGAUAUCGGUUCUUGAUGGUAAGUUUGUUGAGUUCUCGGUUGUCGAUGCACAUCCUGAAUGAUCCAUCCUUCUUUUUCACGAAUAACACGGGUGCUCCCCAAGGCGAGAAGCUCGGCCUGAGGAAUCCUUUGCCGAGUAGCUCAUUCAGUUGGUUGGAUAGCUCCUGCAUCUCUGCUGGGGCUAAUCGAUAGGGCGCCUUGGCUACUGGGGUAGCUCCGGGAAUCAGAUCGAUUCUGAACUCGACUUGUCUCGCGGGUGGUAUUCCUGGAAGGUCCUCGGGAAAAACAUUGGGAAAAUCGCAUACGUCAGGCACAUUCUUGACGUCCUGGACUUCGCGUUUCACAUCCACGACAUGUGCCAAAAACGCAUGAUAUUUCUUGCGUAGGCACUUCUGAGCUUGGAUACUUGAGAUUAUACGAAGAGUGGCACUGGAUUUGUCGCCCAAGAUAAUGAAAGUUUUGACGGUUGGCAGAUUAAGGCGAACGACCUUAUCGUAACAUAAAAUGUCCGCAUGAUGAGAACUCAGCCAAUCCAUGCCUAUGAUGACAUCGAAACUCUUAAUCGAGACUGGCAUGAGGUUGAUUGGAAAGGGAUUAUCUUUUAGAGUUAGGGUACAGUUUAAGUAUAUCUCCUUAGUGCCUUCUGUUUUACCGUUGGCCAUUUCUACUAUAAACGGUUCACUUAAUGAUUGUGGUGUUGGUUUUAGCAGGCCUUUAAAAUCAUGACUCACAAAACUUCUCUCCGCUCCACUAUCAAACAAAAUGCAUGCAUACGAGUUAUCGAGAAGAAACAUACCCGUAACAAUAGUGGGGUCCGCAACAGCUUCAUCUUGUCCCAUUGCGAACACUCGGCCCAUUCCGCCGGUAUUCCUGUUGUUUGCCUUCAGGCAAUCCCUGCGGUAGUGUCCCAUGUCUCCGCACUCAAAGCAGGCGUGGCUUACUCCGGUAUUAGCAGUGGGGGCGGAUUGUUGGGUUGGCUCCUUGCAGUAGCGGGUUGUAUGCCCCUUCUUAUUGCACCUAGUGCAUUGGAGGUCAUGGCAGAGACCGUGGUGGUGGAAGUUACAUUGGUUACAUUUCGGAAGUUUCCCAUUGUAUGAGCUUGUGGGGGCAGUGAUGGUAGGUACAGUAAUAGCGUGGGUCGCUACCACUUGUUGUUUCUUGGGGUUCUCCUGUAGGGUUUGUCCCCUUCUCUUGUUCCAAGGCCUACCCUGGCCCUGUACCUCCUUAGAUGGAUUUGCGGUAGCUGCAAUGGUACCCUGUUUUACCCCGUCGUUGAUGAUUCACUGAGCCAGGCGUUUAGCGUUGUUGAAAGUGAUAGGGUUGGAAGCUAGGACAUGACCAUGAAUCUGGGGUGACAACCCCCAAAUGUACCUUUCAACCUUUUUCGAUUUUGGGUUGACCAUGGUAGGGCACAAUGCAGCGAGGUCGCUGAACCUAGCUGUGUAGGCGACUAGAUCAGACCCAGUCAUCUUCAGAUUCCAGAGCUCUUGCUCAAGUUUUUGCACUUCACCCCUUGGGCAGUAUUCUUCCAAUAGUAGAAUCUUCAGAUCCUCCCAACUCAUGGCAUUGGCAACAGUGAGAGUCACCGAAUUCACAUGGCUUUUCCACCAAGUGAGGGCUCGAUCAAUGAAGGUGCAAGUAGCGAACUUGACUUUGCUUGCUUCUUGGCAUGAGCAGAUCUCGAAGACCGUUUCGGUCUCUUUGAACCAUUUCAUUAGUGCAAUGACUCCCCCAGUUCCAUUAAAAGUUUUUGGCUUUGCAUUGGAGAACUCCUUGUAAGUACAUUCCCUUACUUGACCAUGACCAGUGUCGCGAUUGGAAUGAUUCGUGCUGCUUCCUGUCCCUCCAUUUCCGUUGGAGUUUAUUUGUGAGAGGGCUGCAGUUACUGUUGUUGUGAUAGCAGCCUGGACCAUGGCCGGAUCAUAAGUUUGUGGUGGAGGUGGUGGUAGUGUUGUGCCCGGUCUGGGUCUUAGGUUUGGACGAGGAGGCAUCGCGCUGCCAAAAGAAAAUGAAAGAUUAUAAGUUUUGGUGGUUGAGAGUUGAAUGAUAUUGAGUUAACUCUCUUUAAUAGUUCAAGAAUUUGGUUUGACCAACACAAGGUUUUGAGUUCGAUUUACAAAUGGAGUUUGAAUAGAUAUACUCACGAAUUGAAUGAACUGCACAUAAUUAACAUACGAAAGAGAUAUGCCCUAUAUAUAUUAAACAUAUGGUUGUGUUACAUUCGAGUUUAGACAAAAUUUUUUGACCUUUCUAAAGGUCUCCGAUUACAGAAAGUUUAAAGAAAAUAAUACUUUUAGCCGAAGUCCUAACUUAUAACAAAAUUUGAAAGUCGGGCAAGUACUACAUGCGGCGCGGUUUGCGUUUGGAGCUUGACUCCGUGUAUGAAUGUUUUGACUCCAUGAGGUGCCUAUCAAACGCGGCUUGUUGUUCCCUUAUUUAUGUUAUUGUUGCGAUCAUGGAAUUCAGUUGUUCUUGGAGGGCAUUAGUGUGGUCUAGGCCAUACCCUUGCAACCUAUCCAAACAGCGGAUGUCGGAAGUGUGCACUUGCACUUCCACAUUGACCUCGUGGAUCCGGUUGGCUUGAACUCCGGAUCGAUAGCACUUUGCCAACCAUGACUGGUUGGCUAUUUUGCCAACCAUGACUGGGAGUGCUCGGUCCGCCGAACCCCCGCCUCUGACAUCGUAGAAGUCUCGGCACAUGCCGUAGGGAGGGCGUAAGCUUUGUUGUUGGCUCCAAUGGUGAUGGUGACUCCCCCAUACGGGAGUGGGUCCUUGGAAGUUCCUCACAUAGACGGGAGGUUGCGGGGCUGGUGGAUUGAUUACCUCUGGCUCCGAAUCUGUACCAGAGUCCUCUCCUUCAUCCAACUCUAUAGGUUCUUCGUCUUCUUCGGGAUCUUCUUCGAUCCAUCCUCCAUUACAUUGGUUGGGGUAGGAGGGGUCACCGGGGUGAUGGAAUCCAGCCAUUGAGUCUAUAUGAGAAUAGGGUUAAGAAUUGACUAUAAGCUAAAGCACAUGAAAUUUACCCUUAAGUUUAAUGGUUGUAGAUACUCAAAUACUCCCUUAGUAUUCUUUAACGAUAUGCUUUUGGUAAGCUUUAAAUUUGUUGUCCACUGCAGACACUCCUUGGCACACGUUAGUCGGCUCUCGGAAAAAUAUAGUUGAUCAGGCUAUAUUCUUGCCAGUUCCGAUUACACGUCCCACGGCAUACCUGCACUGCACAACUUAUUUAUAAAACUUCUAUAAUCAUCUGUAUAUGAAACUAUUAUUAGUAUGAAAUGAGUGCAUGCCUAUUUUACCAAAAACUAAAUAGAUUUAAUUUAAAAAAAGUAUGACUCUUACUCAGAGUGUUUUUGCCGAGUUGUGUUUAUAGUUGUAUACCAAAAAUGGUUUUGAUAUACUUAAUUCCCUAUACACAAUGCUCUGAUACCAAUCUGUCACACCCCCAAACCAGAACGGCGGAAACGUUCGGGGGCGGAGGACGUCAUGUUCAAUAUCAUAACAGUUCAUAGAAAGGAAAGUACACACCACCAUAUAUAUAAAGGUUUUCAAAGUGUUUACAUAAUUGUAUUCGUUACAUGUUCAAAAGAUAAAUACAUAAAUAUCUUUCAAAAGAAGUAAUCAACGUCAACGCGUUAAUCCCCAAAAGUUGAUUUCCAAACCUGCUUAGCGGUUCCCUGAGAAUACAAGUUAUUUCAAAGAAAAGUGUCAACAAUUAAGUUGGUGAGUUCAUAAGCGGUUUUGAGAAAUUGUAUGCCAUUCCAAAAUGAGUGUAUAUUUUCCAAGAAAAUCCCUUAUUUUCUUACAAAAGUAUGAAAUGCAUGAAAAUAUUUGUGUUGUAAAAUGUAGAUAGUUGAAUCAAGAAAAUCCCUUAUUUUCCUAUUAGUUGUUUGUUUUGUAUACAGGAAAAUCCCAUAUUUUCCUAAAGUAACAAGUAGUCUAAUGUCCAAUACUAAAAACCGAAAGCAAUUGACAUGCUUUAGAAGAUUGAAGCAUAUUUUUAUAUAAUAAAACCUAUAAGAAGAUCGUAGUUGUUAGAUAAAGAGUAGUUUUAAUAGCUACUCAUUCAUAAUCCAGAAGUACUAUAAUAAUUGUAUAUCCGAUGAGUUUUAUAACCAUACUAAACAUAAUAUGUCUAUAGCGACGUUCUUCAGGCGUCGUAGCGUUAUGACAAACUGUCACCCCAAAGGACGGACUGUAGCUAACAGUCAGGGCGCGGGAUCAUGACUUCCCGUAUAGAUCUAUACACAUUUGACAUGUUCCCCCAACGGGAGACUCUGGUUAUAGACAGGACUUGAAGUGGUGCCUUUUAGCAAAAAGGUAGUAUUUGAAGAUGUACAUGUCUCACGGAUUCUUAGCUAAGUCUGUAUUAAAGUAAUAGUUUUGUAUGCAAAGUUUAUCCAUUUUCACAAUGUUUGACAAAGCAUAAGUCAUAAGUUCUUUGAAUGCAUAAAACGGUUUAACAAUGAUGGCUACUUCGGAUACUAUGUACUUUGUAUAAAUCUAGUGUAUGUAAAGUAUAACAAGAGUUUUCAUAUAAUAGUUAUGAAACACAUAUGAUUCAUUUGAUAAAAAAAGUAAAGUGAAACUUUAUGUAACACACGAUAAUAACCGUGUGUUUACUUGUAUUCUCCCCCGAAAUGUAUUAAACGUACAUUAUAAAGUAUUUGAAAGUGUAUGGAAGGGGGUAUGAACUCACUUGAUAGAUUGAAGAAGGUGAGACGAAAACCGAGCAGAACUUUGACUUGAAAAAGCGGAUUUUCUUGGGAAUCUCGGGAGCGUAAAACUUUCUUCGGGGCCUGAGUAUGGUAACCAGGGCUUCGGGAUAAAUAUUGCACGGAAAACGACGCAAAAACGCAAGAAAGAUGAGAGGAAAUGAGCAAUUUCCCCAGAACCCUCGCAUCCCUUUUAUAAGGGGCUGAACCGCCUCGUUACGCUGGGCGUACGCGUGCGUCAUGCGUGACCGAGUCCUCGACUGCCUCGGAGCCCGGAUGGGACGGGGCAUAGCCUCGCAUAGGGGGCGACGUGGACGAUCCGGGUCCUAGUCCUUGAGUACGCUGGGCGUACGAGGGUACGCUGGGCGUAACUCGGAUGGACCCGGUGACUCCUUCUUCGGAUGUUACCAAAUUUUUAUUUAAAUUUAUCCUUUUAUUAAAUAGUAAACUUCAAAAAUUCAUAUCUUCUCCAUACGAACUCCGUUUUCGACGUUCAUUAUAUCCACGAAUAGGUGAGACUACGCUCUACGACUUUCAUUUAGACUCCGUCGGCUAAUUUUGAAUUUAAUUUUAUUAUUUAUUUUUAAAAGGUCGGGACAGGAAAAGUUCGUUAAAAAUUCAUAACUUCUUCAUACGAAGUCAGAUUUGGGCGAUCUUUUUAUGUAUGUUCGUGGUUUAAUGAUAUAUAUGACUUUCAUUUAGAUACCUAAGGUCAAAAAGUACUUUAUUGAAAUUUCUCGUUUUAUGCUUAACAACGUUUUACCGUUAGCUGUUACGAAUCUUUGAUUGGUCAUAACUCCUUCGUUAUAACUCGGAUUUUUGUGUUCUUUAUAUUUUUGGAAACCUUAACAUGCCAUCUACCACUUAGUAUACUCAAACAGGGUUUCUUUGAACAUUUCAUUUUUGAUGAUAUUGCUUAUAAUUUCACAAAGAGAUUACAAUACUUGACUUUUUAGCCAUUUCAUUGACCUGAAAUAACGGGUUGUUACAAUGCCUCAAUGUCAAAAACUCCUGAGCAAGCCGCUCCUGCUUAACGCGUGGAACGUAGCAGGUGCAAAACAUAUCCCGGAACCGCUCCCAAGUAAUAACAGCUCUCUGAUCAAUAGUAUAUGAUGUGGUCGUCAAUCUCCACCAAUCCUUGGGCCCAAGGCUCGGCAGGGUAAGGGCACACCUGACCUUUUUGUCAGUAGGGGAUGAACACAUGAAGAAACAGUCCUCCACAUCGGAUAACCACCUCAUAGCCCUGAUCGCAUCCUGUGUACCAUCAAACAUCAGGGGCUACGUGUUAUCAAAGUCCCGGUACUGGAAAGCCCUGUCCGCUCCUCCUCCAACCACUGUCGCGGUUACAACCGAUGUGGCUACAGCGGCAGCUGUCUCUACUAGAGCUACAUAUCGCUCAACAAAGUACUCAACCAUCGCGGUCUUGAUCGAACCAAAUAUCUAUGAUAGCUGGUCUUGGAACAUCACAGCAAUCUCGUCAUGCAGAAUCACUCAGAUCAUGGCAUCUAACUCCUCUGUCCCUAUCUGUACCACAGGCUCUGGUGCUACCGGCACCUCCGACCCUCCGUCCCCCGAUCCUGAUCCUGAUCAUGAUCCUGACUCGGAUCCAGUAGUAAAACAUCUCGUCACCACCAUACUGAAAAAAUAUACCCAAGAUGUCAGAUAAACAACAUAAUAUCGGGAGACCAAUACCCACAAACCCUAGGGGUUGUGACUUCCUUGCUACGAGUAUGGGUCCUGUGCUUUCAUUAGUACGGGCCCAUACUACCUUCCACACCUACCCAUAUUUGUCCCAAGUAUCACCAUAAUACCCUAACACUAUCAUCAACAUAAUAUGUGCUCAACCCUCACUCCUAGGGGAACAUCGCUUAUAUCGCAACUGAUCUCACAGCUCCUCACAACUCACACCUCCAUGAAACUUUCAUCAACCCCUACAGUGCAGCGCAUGCUAGUUGCACAUAACACUAGACCCAAUAGACUUUCAAAUAUCUAAUCCUAUUCAAAGACUGAAUCAAACAUUCUCAGGCUAUAAGAUCUUGUUUACGCACAACCAUGAUGCAUACUCUAACGACUACAAUAAUGAUGUCAAUUCCGUAUACAAGAAACCCUAGGCUAGUAGGCAUCAUAUAAUCAGGCAAGUCUAUCAUGCGAUUCCUGAAGAUCCCUAGCCUAGCACUAGCAAGUUGUUCUAACAUAUCAUAAUAUCAAAUAACUGUAUGGUAUUUUGGGGUUUACUUACAGGCUCCGACUGAUCAUACCCUCUACAUCCUUCAUCCUUUAUUUUGAAAACCAUUUUUAAAAAAUAAAAUUAUUUUCUGAAAUUUCCCUUGAUUUGAUACUGGAUUCACACGAGUGUUCCUCCAAUUCACUCAAGCAAUGGCUCUGAUACCAACUUGUAACAACCAAAAAAUUUAUGCCAAAUUUAAAUUUUUUCAAUCAUAAAUAACACCAAAUAGCAUUGUUUACAGAAAAUGGUUUCAAAUCAUUAUUCAAUCAGAGUGUCCCAUAAGCCAGAUCACAAUGGCUCUGAUACCACACUGAUAAUAUCAUAUCAGUAGUAAUCAAUCAAUCAACAUGCAUACUGGGCCAUCGGCCUGACUGGACCCCGCUACAGGGCCUACAGUCUAGCUGAAUCUAUAUCGAGCCUUCGCAAUGACUGGACCGCCACAUGACCUACAGUCUCCCCGGACCGCUCAUAGGGUAUGUUGCCCUUCAGCACAAAGCAGGACCGCCUCAACCCAACCAACGAGCAAAUAAUCAGGUACGCAUAGCUAACAUACACUGGCAUAUACAUACAUCAAACAUAUCUAAUUCACUAAUCAUCAAUCAUAGCAAUCUCUCAUGACUAGAGCACCGACCUAGCAUGCCACUAACAUACCAAUCCUUAAGGAUCAUAAAAGCAUAACAUACUGUCUAUCCUGAUGCAGAUCUAUCAGAUCAUAACCGCAUAUAUCAUAUCAUAUCCAUAACAACUAAAGGGUCAGCCUUGGUGCCUUAGACCCUUGUGAUAUAGUGAGGAUAACUCACCUGGCAGAUGUCGACUCGGUAGAUAAACUCCAACUCUCGGAUCACUUGCCCAAGACUCCACCACCUAUUACCAUAAUACGAAUAUACCCAUAAGUCCUCAACCUUACAAGGUACUCCCUAAACCAAGUAGCCACCCCCUGGUCAAGGUCAAAGUUCUCAGUCAAGGUCAAUAGUCCAUGUUGACCUUAACUCGCCGAGUACCCUCGGCUACUCACCGAGUUCCUUGAAGUACUUUCCCACUCGUCGAGUCACCGGGGUGGCUCGUAGAGUUCCUUCGGUCUACGAUCAAAACUCUACGGCCACUCGUCAAGUUUCCUUCAUGCAACCCGACGGAUAUGCACGUAUACAUAACUUGGGGAAAUCUCAUCCGACUCGCCGACUUGUUCAAACAACUCGUCGAGUAUAUGGAAAUCUUCAACGGACUCGCCGAGUUGUUCUUCCAACUCGUUGAGUUCACGCCUAUCUUCAUAUGACUCGCCGAGUCGACCAUGCGACUCGCCGAGUCCCUUCAGUCCUUUUGCCAUACAGACUCAUUUGAGUCAUGCAGCGGAUCCAAACUACAGAUCCAAGCUUCUAUGGCAUGGUUUUCACAUAAAGUUGCAAAGUCUUUGUUCAUGCAUAGCUAUAAAGGCUCUAAAUGUCCAAUCCAAGCCCAUAAUGGGGUUUCCUACCCAAGGAAGGUUUCAUUCACGUCCAAAACAGAAAGUUUAUGACUCUAGGACUUGAGAAGGGUCUAGAUCUGAAGUUACAACUUCAGAUCUAGCCCAUAGUCCACCUUAUCAACUCAAAGAUCCAUAAAAGCCCCAAAACUCAACCAAAAGGAGGUCUAGAAGGGAAAAGAAGUAAAGGUGGGGACUUGAUACCUCUAGAAGAUACUAACUGAGGUAGAUUCUGAUUGCCACACUUUCCUGGAUCCAAUUCCCUCGCCUUCCAAGUUCCUUCUCUCCUAAGAUCUUCCUCCCAAGCUUAAUACACCCACAAUAAAGCACCACACCAAUUAGGGUUUCUUAAGAGCUCUCUAGAACUGUAUAGAGGCCAAAGGAGGCUUAAGCCUCCUUAAAUAGGGUGAAAAACCCCAGGAUUUAGGGUUUCAUCAGCCAGUUCCUACUCGUCGAGUUCCUUCAUGGACUCGACGAGUAGGUCACUAAACACACGAUUCCACCCCGCUGCUACUCGACGAGUAAGGCAACCAAAUCGUUGAGUAGGACUCAAACCAAAGAAAUCAAUACAUGAGAAUCGGGGCGUUACAAUUCUCCUCCACUUGAACAAGACUUCGCCCUUGAAGUCCUCUGGAAUAAACAAUGCCGGGUAGUGCUCGCGCAUCUCCGCCUCCGGCUCCCAUGUCCACUCAGAUCCCCUCCGAUGUUCCCACUGUACCAUCACCAAAGGUAUUUCCUUGUUCUGUAAAAUCUUAUUCUUCCUCUCCAAGAUGGCAACAGGCCUCUCCACGUAUGUCAUGCGGUCAUCAACCUGAAUAUCAUCCAACGAUCCUACCUCCUCCUGGUCCAUGAUGUACUUUCGCAACUGCGAAAUAUGGAACGUGCUGUGGAUCCGGCUAAGCUCCGUCGGAAGCUCAAGCCUAUAAGUCACUUUUCUAACCCUGGCAAUGAUCUUGAACGACCCAAUAUAACGGUACGGUCAUGCCUUCUCUUUGCCAUGAUCUCCUGAAAUACCUGAAACAAUCAACUGAAAACUGUAAGCCCGAGGGCUUAGUGAGCUACCCCCAACAUACCAAUACCACACUGAUAAUAUCAUAUCAGUAGUAAUCAAUCAAUCAACAUGCAUACUGGGCCAUCGGCCUGAGUGGACCCCCUAAAGGGCCUACAGUCUAGAUGAAUCUAUAUCGAGCCUUCGGCAUGAUUGGAUCGCCACGUGGCCUACAGUCUCCCCGGACCGCUCAUAGGGUAUGUUGCCCUUCAGCACAAAGCAGGACCGCCUCAACCCAACCAACGAGCAAAUAAUCAGGUACGCAUAGCUAACAUACACUGGCAUAUACAUACAUCAAACAUAUCUAAUUCACUAAUCAUCAAUCAUAGCAAUCUCUCAUGACUAGGGCACCGACCUAGCAUGCCACUAACAUACCAAUCCCUAAGGAUCAUAAAAGCAUAACAUACUGUCUAUCCUGAUUCAAAUCUAUCAGAUCAUAACCGCAUAUAUAAUAUCAUAUUCAUAACAACUAAAGGGCCGGCCUUGGUGCCUUAGACCCUUGUGAUAUAGUGAGGAUAACUCACCUCGCAGAUGUCGACUCGGUAGAUAAACUCCAACUCUCGGAUCACUUGUCCAAGACUCCAACACCUAUUACCAUAAUACGAAUAUACCCAUAGGUCCUCAACCUUACAAGGUACUCCCAAAACCAAGUAGUCACUCCCUGGUCAAGGUCAAAGUUCUCAGUCAAGGUCAACAGUCCAUGUUGACCUUAACUCGCCGGGUACCCUCGGCUACUCACCGAGUUCCUUGAAGUACUUGCCCACUCGUCGAGUCACCGGGGUGACUCGUAGAGUUCCUUCGGUCUACGAUCGAAACUCUACGGCCACUCGUCGAGUUUCCUUCAUGCAACCCGACGGAUACGCACGCAUACAUAACUUGGGGAAAUCUCAUCCGACUCGCCGACUUAUUCAAACAACUCGUCGAGUAUAUGGAAAUCUUCAACGGACUCGCCGAGUUGUUCUUCCAACUCAUUGAGUUCACGCCUAUCUUCAUAUGACUCGCCGAGUCGACCAUGCGACUCGCCGAGUCCCUUCAGUCCUUUUGCCAUACAGACUCAUUUGAGUCAUGCAGCGGAUCCAAACUACAGAUCCAAGCUUCUAUGGCAUGGUUUUCACAUAAAGUUGCAAAGUCUACGUUCAUGCAUAGCUAUAAAGGCUCUAAAUGUCCAAUCCAAGCCCAUAAUGGGGUUUCCUACCCAAGGAAGGUUUCAUUCACGUCCAAAACAGAAAGUUUAUGACUCUAGGACUUGAGAAGGGUCUAGAUCUGAAGUUACAACUUCAGAUCUAGCCCAUAGUCCACCUUAUCAACUCAAAGAUCCAUAAAAGCCCCAAAACUCAACCAAAAAGAGGUCUAGAAGGGAAAAGAAGUAAAGGUGGGGACUUGAUACCUCUAGAAGAUGCUAACUGAGGUAGAUUCUGAUUGCCACACUUUCCUGGAUCCAAUUCCCUCGCCUUCCAAGUUCCUUCUCUCCUACGAUCUUCCUCCUAAGCUUAAUACACCCACAAUAAAGCACCACACCAAUUAGGGUUUCUUAAGAGCUCUCUAGAACUGUAAAGAGGCCAAAGGAGGCUUAAGCCUCCUUAAAUAGGGUGAAAAACCCCAGGAUUUAGGGUUUCAUCAGCCAGUUCCUACUCGUCGAGUUCCUUCAUGGACUCGGCAAGUAGGUCACUAAACACACGAUUCCACCCCGCUGCUACUCGACGAGUAAGGUAAGCAACUCGUCGAGUAGGACUCAAACCAAAGAAAUCAAUACAUGAGAAUCGGGGCGUUACAAUUCUCCUCCACUUGAACAAGACUUCGCCCUUGAAGUCCUCUGGAAUAAACAAUGCCGGGUAGUUCUCGCGCAUCUCCGCCUCCGGCUCCCAUGUCCACUCAGAUCCCCUACGAUGUUCCCAUUGUACCUUCACCAAAGGUAUUUCCUUGUUCUGUAAAAUCUUAUUCUUCCUCUCCAAGAUGGCAACAGGCCUCUCCACGUAUGUCAUGCGGUCAUCAACCUGAAUAUCAUCCAACGAUCCUACUGCCUCCUGGUCCAUGAUGUACUUUCGCAACUGCGAAAUAUGGAACGUGCUGUGGAUCCGGCUAAGCUCCGUCGGAAGCUCAAGCCUAUAAGUCACUUUUCUAACCCUGGCAAUGAUCUUGAACGACCCAAUAUAACGGUACGGUCAUGCCUUCUCUUUGCCAUGAUCUCCUGAAAUACCUGAAACAAUCAACUGAAAACUGUAAGCCCGAGGGCUUAGUGAGCUACCCCCAACAUACCAAUACCACACUGAUAAUAUCAUAUCAGUAGUAAUCAAUCAAUACACAUGCAUACUGGGCCAUCGGCCUAACUGAACUCCACUACAGGCCCUACAGUCUAGUUGAAUCUAUAUCGAGCCUUUCGCAUGACUGGACCGCCAUGUGGCCUACUGUCUCCCCUGACGGCUCAUAGGGUAUGUUGGCCUUCAGCACAAAGCAGGACCGCCUCAACCCAACCAACGAGCAAAUAAUCAGGUACGCAUAGCUAACAUACACUGGCAUAUACAUACAUCAAACAUGUCUAAUUCACUAAUCAUCAAUCAUAACAAUCUCUCAUGACUAGAGCACCGACCUAGCAUGCCACUAACAUACCAAUCCCUAAGGAUCAUAAAAGCAUAACAUAUUGUCUAUCCUGAUUCAGAUCUAUCAGAUCAUAAACGCAUAUAUCAUAUCAUAUCCAUAACAACUAAAGGGUCGGCCUUGGUGCCUUAGACCCUUGUGAUAUAAUGAGGAUAACUCACCUCGCAGAUGUUGACUCGGUAGAUAAACUCAAACUCUCGGAUCACUUGCCCAAGACUCCACCACCUAUUACCAUAAUAUGAAUAUACCCAUAAGUCCUCAACCUUACAUGGUACUCCCUAAACCAAGUAGUCACCCCCUGGUCAAGUUCAAAGUUCUCAGUCAAGGUCAACAGUCGAUGUUGACCUUAACUCGCCGAGUACCCUCGGCUACUCACCGAGUUCCUUGAAGUACUUUCCCACUCGUCGAGUCACCGGGGUGGCUCGUAGAGUUCCUUCGGUCUACGAUCAAAACUCUACGGCCACUCGUCAAGUUUCCUUCAUGCAACCCGACGGAUAUGCACGUAUACAUAACUUGGGGAAAUCUCAUCCGACUCGCCGACUUGUUCAAACAACUCGUCGAGUAUAUGGAAAUCUUCAACGGACUCGCCGAGUUGUUCUUCCAACUCAAUUAGUUCACGCCUAUCUUCAUAUGACUCGCCGAGUCGACCAUGCGACUCGCCGAGUCCCUUCAGUCCUUUUGCCAUACAGACUCAUUUGAGUCAUGCAGCAGCUCCAAACUACAGAUCCAAGCUACUAAGGCAUGGUUUUCACAUAAAGUUGCAAAGUCUACGUUCAUGCAUGGAUAUAAAGGCUCUAAAUGCCCAAUCGAAGCCCAUAAUGGGGUUUCCUACCCAAGGAAGGUUUCAUUCACGUCCAAACCAGAAACUUUAUGACUCUAGGACUUGAGAAGGGUCUAGAUCUGAAGUUACAACUUCAGAUCUAGCCCAUAGUCCACCUUAUCAACUCAAAGAUCCAUAAAAGCCCCAAAACUCAACCAAAAAGAAGUCUAGAAGGGAAAAGAAGUAAAGGUGGCGACUUGAUACCUCUAGAAGAUGCUAACUGAGCUAGAUUCUGAUUGCCACACUUUCCUGGAUCCAAUUCCCUCGCCUUCCAAGUUCCUUCUCUCCUAAGAUCUUCCUCCCAAGCUUAAUACACCCACAAUAAAGCACCACACCAAUUAGGGUUUCUUAAGAGCUCUCUAGAACUGUAUAGAGGCCAAAGGAGGCUUAAGCCUCCUUAAAUAGGGUGAAAAACCCCAGGAUUUAGGGUUUCAUCAGCCAGUUCCUACUCGUCGAGUUCCUUCAUGGACUCGGCAAGUAGGUCACUAAACACACGAUUCCACCCCGCUGCUACUCGACGAGUAAGGUAAGCAACUCGUCGAGUAGGACUCAAACCAAAGAAAUCAAUACAUGAGAAUCGGGGCGUUACAAUUCUCCUCCACUUGAACAAGACUUCGCCCUUGAAGUCCUCUGGAAUAAACAAUGCCGGGUAGUUCUCGCGCAUCUCCGCCUCCGGCUCCCAUGUCCACUCAGAUCCCCUACGAUGUUCCCAUUGUACCUUCACCAAAGGUAUUUCCUUGUUCUGUAAAAUCUUAUUCUUCCUCUCCAAGAUGGCAACAGGCCUCUCCACGUAUGUCAUGCGGUCAUCAACCUGAAUAUCAUCCAACGAUCCUACCUCCUCCUGGUCCAUGAUGUACUUUCGCAACUGCGAAAUAUGGAACGUGCUGUGGAUCCGGCUAAGCUCCGUCGGAAGCUCAAGCCUAUAAGUCACUUUUCCAACCCUGGCAAUGAUCCUGAACGACCCAAUAUAACGGUACGGUCACGCCUUCGCCUUGCCAUGAUCUCCUGAAGUCCCUGAAACAAUAAACUAAAAACUGUAAGCCCGAGGGCUUAGUGAGCUACCCCCAAAAUACCAAUACCACACUGAUAAUAUCAUAUCAGUAGUAAUCAAUCAAUACACAUGCAUACUGGGCCAUCGGCCUAACUGAACUCCACUACAGGCCCUACAGUCUAGUUGAAUCUAUAUCGAGCCUUUCGCAUGACUGGACCGCCAUGUGGCCUACUGUCUCCCCUGACGGCUCAUAGGGUAUGUUGGCCUUCAGCACAAAGCAGGACCGCCUCAACCCAACCAACGAGCAAAUAAUCAGGUACGCAUAGCUAACAUACACUGGCAUAUACAUACAUCAAACAUGUCUAAUUCACUAAUCAUCAAUCAUAACAAUCUCUCAUGACUAGAGCACCGACCUAGCAUGCCACUAACAUACCAAUCCCUAAGGAUCAUAAAAGCAUAACAUAUUGUCUAUCCUGAUUCAGAUCUAUCAGAUCAUAAACGCAUAUAUCAUAUCAUAUCCAUAACAACUAAAGGGUCGGCCUUGGUGCCUUAGACCCUUGUGAUAUAAUGAGGAUAACUCACCUCGCAGAUGUUGACUCGGUAGAUAAACUCAAACUCUCGGAUCACUUGCCCAAGACUCCACCACCUAUUACCAUAAUAUGAAUAUACCCAUAAGUCCUCAACCUUACAUGGUACUCCCUAAACCAAGUAGUCACCCCCUGGUCAAGUUCAAAGUUCUCAGUCAAGGUCAACAGUCGAUGUUGACCUUAACUCGCCGAGUACCCUCGGCUACUCACCGAGGUCCUUGAAGCACUUUCCCACUCGUCGAGUCACCGGGGUGGCUCGUAGAGUUCCUUCGGUCUACGAUCAAAACUCUACGGCCACUCGUCAAGUUUCCUUCAUGCAACCCGACGGAUAUGCACGUAUACAUAACUUGGGGAAAUCUCAUCCGACUCGCCGACUUGUUCAAACAACUCGUCGAGUAUAUGGAAAUCUUCAACGGACUCGCCGAGUUGUUCUUCCAACUCAAUUAGUUCACGCCUAUCUUCAUAUGACUCGCCGAGCCGACCAUGCGACUCGCCGAGUCCCUUCAGUCCUUUUGCCAUACAGACUCAUUUGAGUCAUGCAGCAGCUCCAAACUACAGAUCCAAGCUACUAAGGCAUGGUUUUCACAUAAAGUUGCAAAGUCUACGUUCAUGCAUGGAUAUAAAGGCUCUAAAUGCCCAAUCGAAGCCCAUAAUGGGGUUUCCUACCCAAGGAAGGUUUCAUUCACGUCCAAACCAGAAACUUUAUGACUCUAGGACUUGAGGGGUCUAGAUNCUAGAUCUGAAGUUACAACUUCAGAUCUAGCCCAUAGUCCACCUUAUCAACUCAAAGAUCCAUAAAAGCCCCAAAACUCAACCAAAAAGAAGUCUAGAAGGGAAAAGAAGUAAAGGUGGCGACUUGAUACCUCUAGAAGAUGCUAACUGAGCUAGAUUCUGAUUGCCACACUUUCCUGGAUCCAAUUCCCUCGCCUUCCAAGUUCCUUCUCUCCUAAGAUCUUCCUCCUAAGCUUAAUACACCCACAAUAAAGCACCACACGAAUUAGGGUUUCUUAACAGCUCUCUAGAACUGUAAAGAGGCCAAAGGAGGCUUAAGCCUGCUUAAAUAGGGUGCAAAACCCCUGGAUUUAGGGUUUCAUCAGCUAGUUCCUACUCGUCGAAUUCCUUCAUGGACUCGGCGAGUAGGUCACUAAACACACGAUUCCACCCCGCUGCUACUCGACGAGUAAGGCAACCAAGUCGUUUAAUAGGACUUAAACCAAAGAAAUCAAUACCUGAGAAUCGGGGCGUUACAAUUCUCCUCCAUUUGAACUAGACUUCGCCCUUGAAGUCCUUUGGAAUAAACAAUGCCGGGUAGUGCUCGCGCAUCUCCGCCUCUGGCUCCUAUGUCCACUCAGAUCCCCUCCGAUGUUCUCACUGUACCUUCACCUAAGGUAUUUCCUUGUUCCGUAAAAUCUUAUUCUUCCUCUCCAAGAUGGAAACAGGCCUUUCCACGUAAUUCAUGUGGUCAUCAACCUGAAUAUCAUCCAGCGAUACUGCUGCCUCCUGGUCCAUGAUACACUUUCGCAACUGCGAAACACGGAACGUGCUGUGGAUCCGGCUAAGCUCCAUCGGAAGCUCAAGCCUAUAAGUCACUUUUCCAACCCUGGCAAUGAUCCUGAACGGCCCAAUAUAACGGUACGGUCACGCCUUCGCCUUGCCAUGAUCUCCUGAAAUACCUGAAACAAUAAACUAAAAACUGUAAGCCCGAGGGCUUAGUGAGCUACCCCCAAAAUACCAAUACCACACUGAUAAUAUCAUAUCAGUAGUAAUCAAUCAAUCAACAUGCAUACUGGGCCAUCGGCCUGACUGGACCCCCCUUCAGGGCCUACAGUCUAGCCGAAUCUAUAUCGAGCCUUCGGCAUGACUGCACCGCCACGUGGCCUACAGUCUCCCCGGACCGCUCAUAGGGUAUGUUGGCCUUCAGCAUAACGCAGGACCGCCUCCACCUAACCAACAAGCAAAUAAUCAGGUACGCAUAGCUAACAUACACUGGCAUAUACAUACAUGAAAAAUAUCUAAUUCACUAAUCAUCAAUCAUAGCAAUCUCUCAUGACUAGAGCACCGACCUAGCAUGCCACUAACAUACCAAUCCCUAAGGAUCAUAAAAGCAUAACAUACUGUCUAUCCUGAUGCAGAUCUAUCAGAUCAUAAACGCAUAUAUCAUAUCAUAUCCAUAACAACUAAAGGGCUUGCCUUGGUGCCUUAGACCCUUGUGAUAUAGUGAGGAUGACUCACCUCGUAGAUGUCGACUCAGUAGAUAAACUCCAACUCUCGGAUCACUUACCCAAGACUUCACCACCUAUUACCGUAAUACGAAUAUACCCAUAAGUCCUCAACCUUACAAGGUACUCCCUAAACCAAGUAGUCAACUCCUGGUCAAUGUCAAAGUUCUCAGUCAAGGUCAACAGUCCAUGUUGACCUUAACUCACGGAGUACCCUCGGCUACUCACCGAGUUCCUUGAAGUAUUUGCCCACUCGUCGAGUCAUCGGGGUGACUCGUAGAGUUCCUUCGGUCUACGAUCGAAACUCUACGGCCACUCGUCGAGUUUCCUUCAUGCAACCCGACGGAUAUGCACGCAUACAUAACUUGGGGAAAUCUCAUCCGACUCGCCGACUUAUUCAAACAACUCGUCGAGUCUAUNAAUCUCAUCCGACUCGCCAAGUUGUUCAAACAACUCGUCGAGUCUAUGACAAUCUUCAAAGGACUCGCCGAGUUGUUCUUCCAACUCGUUGAGUUCACGCCUAUCUUCAUAUGACUCGCCGAGUCGACCAUGCGACUCGCCGAGUCCCUUCAGUCCUUUUGCCAUACAGACUCAUUUGAGUCAUGCAGCGGCUCCAAACUACAGAUCCAAGCUUCUAAGGCAUGGUUUUCACGUAAAGUUGCAAACUCUACGUUCAUGCAUAACUAUAAAGGCUCUAAAUGUCCAUUCCAAGCCCAUAAUAGGGUUUCCUACCCAAGGAAGGUUUCAUUCACGUCCAAACCAGAAACUUUAUGACUCUAGGACUUGAGAAGGGUCUAGAUCUGAAGUUACAACUUCAGAUCUAGCCCAUAGUCCACCUUAUCAACUCAAAGAUCCAUAACAGCCCCAAAACUCAACCAAAAAGAGGUCUAGAAGGGAAAAGAAGUAAAGGUGGCAACUUGAUACCUCUAGAAGAUGCUAACCGAGGUAGAUUCUGAUUGCCACACUUUCCUGGAUCAAUUCCCUUGCCUUCCUAGUUCCUUCUCUCCAAAGAUCUUCCUCCCAAGCUUAAUACACCCACAAUAAAGCACCACACGAAUUAGGGUUUCUUAAGAGAUCUCUAGAACUAUAAAGAGGCCAAAUGAGGCUUAAGCCUCCUUAAAUAGGGUGCAAAACCUCGGGAUUUAGGGUUUCAUCUUCCAGCUCCUACUCAUCGAGUUCCUUCAUGGACUCGGCGAGUAGGUCACUAAACACGCGAUCCCACCCCACUGCUACUCAACGAGUAGGCAACCAACUCAUCGAGUAGGAAUUAAACCAAAGAAAUCAAUACUUGAGAAACGGGGCAUUACACUGGUUCUUUGCAGAAGCGGAUGGUGUGUCCCUUCUUGUUACACCGGGUGCACUAAAACUCACGGCAAGGUCCGUGGUAAUGAAAGUUGCACCGGUUGCAAUUUGGCAGUUGGCCGUUGUAUGAGCUUGUUGGUGCAUGGGUUGUAGGGAUGGUAACAGCAUGUCCUGUCACUAUCUGCUGUUUCUUGGGGGUUCUCUUGCAAGGUUUGCCCCCUUCUCUUGUUCCAAGGUUUCCUUUGGCCCUAUAUUUCCUUUGGUGGGUCGGCAGUAACUGCAAUAGUAUCAUGUUUGCCCCCAUGAUCGAUCAAGCGUUGUGUCAGGCGCUUUGCGCUGUUGAAUGUUACCAGGUUGGAGGCUAAUACAUGCCCUUGAAUUUGGGGCGACAACCCCCAGAUGUAUCUUUCCACUUUCUUCGGCUCCGGGUUCACCAUUCCCGGGUACAAGGCUAACAAAUCACUGAACCUGGCCGUGUAGGUGGUCAGGUUAGAACCAACCAUUUUCAAGUUCCAUAGUUCCUCCUCUAUUUUUUGAAUUUCUCCCUUGGGCAUUAUUCUUCUUAUAGUAGGACUUUCAAGUCCUCCCAUAUCAUGGCAUUGGCAACUGGAGGGGAUACGGAUUUCACAUGGCCCUUCCACCAUGUGAGGGCUAGGUCAGUGAAGGUACAAGUAGUAAACUACCUUGCUUGUUUCCUUGCACGAACAAAUUUCAAAGACUGUCUCGGUCUUUUCAAACCAUUGCAUAAGUGAAAUGACUCCUCCAGUGCCGUUGAACAUUUUCGGCUUGGCGUUCGAGAAUUCUUUGUAGGUACAUUCGCUAACAUGACCAGUGCCAUGGUUUUGAUGAUUGGUACUACUCUUGCUCCAUCCAGCUCCAUUAGAGUUUAUUUGGGAUAGCGCAGCUGCUACUGUUGCGGUGAUGGCAGCCUGAACCAUAGCAGUAUCAUAAGUUGAAGGUGGUGGUGGCGGUGUUGGUGUCGUAUUUCGGCGUGUUGACCUACGAGGAGGCAUCAUGCUGUCAAAAAAAUAAUGAAAGACAAUAAGUCUGAAAUGUUUCAAAGUCGUGUGUUAAUGAGUUAGUUAUUUUCAACAUUUCAUGAAUUAGGGUCGACCUAAACAAGGUUUUCGAGUUUGAUUCAUAAUAAGAGUUUAUAAAUAAACUUAUGAAUUCGAGUGAUAUGCAAGGAAUUAAAACACAAAGGAAAUACUUCAUUAUAUUAAACAUAUAUUGGGUUACAUUUUGGAUUCAGGAAAAUUUUGACCUUUCUAAAGGUCUCCGAUUGCAAAAGUUAGAGAAAAGUAAGACUUUUAGCCGAGAUCCUAUUCUAUAACAAAAUUUUGGGAGUCGGACAAGUACUACUUGCGAUGUGGGUUGAGCUUGGAGCUAGACUCCGCGUCUGAUUGCUUGGUUCCCAUUAGACGCCUUUCAAAGGUGGCUUGUUGCUCCCUCAUUUCUCUUACCUCGGCGAGGGCUGCAUUCAAUUGAUCCUGGAGUGCGUCGGUGUGGAGUUGGGCAUUUUCUUGCAAUAUGUCCAGACGAUGAAUGUCGGCAGCGUUACCUUGCACCUCUACAUUGACUACACGAAUCCGGUUUGCCCAGACUCAUGUUUGUUAGGAUUGGUUAGCUAGCUUGCCUACAAUGAUUGGGAGUGCUCGGUCAGCUGAACUUCCAUUGCUGAUGUUGUAGAAGUCCCGACACAUGCCGUAGGGAGGACGAACUCCUUGUUGCUGACUCCAGUGUUGAAUGUGGCUUCCCCAGAUGGGAGUUGGUCCCUGAAACUCUCUCCUAACAGCAGGGGGUCGGACAGCUGGUAGGUUGAUUACCUCUGGUUCUGAGUCUGUCCCAUCAGAGCCUUCCUCUUCCUCCUCUUCCAUGGGUUCCUCAUCCUCUUCUUGGUCGUCUUCCACCCAUCCUCCGUUGCCUUGGUUGGGGUAGUAGGGGUCUCCAGGUAGAUGCAAUCCAACCAUUGCGACUAUACGAGAAUAGGGUUAUAAGAUUUGUCUAAAAAAAUACUAAAGCACAUAAGUUUAGUAUUAAGUUUAUACUAUUGUUGCUACCAAAGACUCUUAUAGUAUUCUAAAUGUUUUUGUUUGGUAAGUUUUAGACUUGUUGUCCACUGUAGCUAUCUCCUGGCAUAUGUUGUUCGGCUCUUGGACAAAUAUAGUUGAUCGGGCUAUAUUCAUCCCAGUCCCGAUUACAUGUCCCAAGGCAUACCUGUAGUGCACAACUCAAACAUAACACUUCUAUAUUGUUCUCUUAAUGAUACUUGAUUUUGUUAUGAAAUGAAUGCAUGUAAUAAAAAUUUCAUUUUUUUUUAAAAUGCAACUCUCAAUAGAGUGUUUUUUCCUAGUUAUGUUUAUAGUUGUAUAUCAAAAAUAGGUUUUGAUAUAAUUAGUUCACUACAAACAUUGCUCUGAUACCAAUCUGUCACACCCCCAAACCAGAAUGGCGGAAACGUUCGGGGGCGGAGGACGUCAUGUUAAGUAUAAUAGCAAAUGAAUAGUAAAGAAAGUACACACCACCAUAAUAUAAAUACAUUUGAAAAUUUUACAUGAUUGUAUGUGUUACAAGUUUGAAUAUCAAAUACAAUAUGGUGAUCCAAAAUAUGUUACUAACGCCAGCGUGUUAGUCUUCAAAAGUAGUUGCUACCUGGUUUAGUGGUUUCUUGAGAAUACAAGUUAUUUCAAAGAAAAAGUGUCAACAAUAAAGUUGGUGAGUUGAUAAGUAGUGUUUUGAGAAAAUGAAUGCCAUUCAAAAGUUCGUGUCUGCUUUCCAGAAAAUCCCUUAUUUUCUAUUAGAUGUAUCAAAUGAGUAUGAAAGAUCGUUGUAUAAACUGUAUGUAUUUGAACCAGGAAAAUCCCUUAUUUUCCUAAAAAGUGAAAUGUAAUCUCAAAUGACCAAGACCGUAAGCUUUAAGCAACUAUGACAUGCUCAAAAGAAUGAUGUAUAAUCUUAUUAUAAAAUAAUAAGAUAAGAAAAUCGUAUUUGUAAAUGAAAAAGUGACUAUAACAGUCAUUUUCCCCAUGAAAACAAAAUACCAUAAUAAUUGUCUAUCUUGUGAGUUUUAACAACCGUACUAUCAUACUUUGCCUGUAGCGACAUUCUUCAGGCGUCGAAAUGAGAUGACACUUGUCACCCCGGGGACUGUAGCUAGCAGUCAGGGCGCGGGAUCAUUAGUCCCAUAUAGAUCUAUACACACUUGUAAUGUUCUCCGGACGGGAGAUUCUGGUUAUAAACAAGACUUCUAGCGGUACCUUAAUAUGUAUAAUGAAGAUGAAUGACUCACAUAUUCUCAACUAAGUCUGUAUUCUUGAAAGUGAUGAUUUUUUUAUGAAAUGAUUUCCCUUUUUCCACAAUAUUAACAAAACUAUAAUAAAAGGAGUAUGAUCUUGUAUGUAUAAGAAUGGUAUACUGAAAAUGAUUACCCGUGAUAUGUUACAAAAGUUUAAAUAAGCUUAUAGUAUUUAUAAUCAUGUUUUAUCCCGAGAGGGUAAUGUAAGGUAAGAUGUCUUGCAUGUUAACAGAUCCCUAUGAUAGUUAUUAAAAACAGUCUGUAAUGUAUAACGAAAGAUAGAUGUUUUCACACAAGAUUAAUCGUGUGUUUACUUGUAUUCUCCCCCGUAACGUGUUAAGAGCAUUUAAAAAGUCUUUAAAAGAGUAGAAAUGGGGUAUCAGGAUUCUCGGGAAUCUUGGGAGCGUAAAACUUCCUUCCGAACAUGAAUACGAUAACCAGGACUUCGGGAUGGCUCUGAGGGUUUAAACGCAAAGCUUCAGCACGAGAAAGAGAAGAAAUUAAAAUAAUCCCGGAAUCCUUGCACCCUUUUUAUGGGGGCUGAAACCCCCUCGUACCCAGGGCAUACUCACCCAGUUAUGCUGGGCAUAACGAGUCAUCAUCGAAUGCGUAGCUCAGACCUGAUGGCCGAUGGGAAAGCCUGUUGGGUGAUGGGACGAGGCUCCUAUCCUCUGGUACGAUGGGCGUAACUCGCUACGCGGGGCGUAGUUUGAAUUUCCAAACCUCUAAAUUGCGUAACGUUCGCGUACGAGCUCCGUUUUUCAUGUUUUUUUAUAUCCACGCAUAGGUGAGACUAUACUCUACAACUUUGAUUUAGACUCUGUCGGCUAGUUUUGAUUUUAUUUUUAAUUAUUUAUUUUUAAUAGGCCGGGACACGAAAAGUCCGUUUAAAAUCCGUAGCUUCUUUAUCCGAUGUCCGUUUUCGACAGACUUUUCACCAUUGUGAUACUAUUUUCGAGGACUUUAUUUAUCGUUUAGGUUGUUUCGGCCAAAAAUCUCUUGAUCUCUAUUUCGAGAUUUUAGUUGUCUACUGCUAUGUCUGAAACUUAGAAAAAUCUUAACUUUCUCAUACGAAGUUAGAUUUGGACGUUCUUUUUAUGCACGUUCACGGUUUAGUAUAAUCUACGACUUUCGUUUAGAUACCUAAGGUUAAAAAGUAUUUUAUUGAAAUUUCACUUUUUACGUUUAUCAGGGUUUUACCGGUUUUCACACGAAUCUUUGGUUGAUCAUAACUUCCUUAUUAUAACUCAGAUUCGAGUGUUCUGAAUAUUUCUGAAAACCUUGAUAGGAUAUCUAUCAUUUAGGCAUCCCAAUUGAUACUUUCUGAACAUUUUAUUUUCGAAGCUAUUUUAUUAACUUAAACAGGGGUUACAAGGUUUGACUGGAAGUCAUUACAUUGGUUUGAAAUUUCGGGUUGUCACACCAAGGUUGGCCCUUUAGUUGUUAUUGUUAUGGUAUGCUACACGUGGUUAUGAUCUGUUAGAUCGGAAUAAGGAUAAACAGUAUGUUAUCCUCUUAUGAUCCGUAGGGAUUGGUAUGUUAGUGACCUGCUAGGUCGGUGCUCUAGUUACGAGAGAUUUCUAUGAUUGAUGAUCAGUGAGAUAGAUAUGUUGAUAUUUGUAUAUGCCAGUAUGUGAUAGAUAUGUGCACAUGGUUAUUUGCUUGUUGGUUGGGUUGAGACGGUCCUGCUUUGUGCUGAAGGCCAACAUACCCUAUGAGCGGUCCGGGGAGACUGUAGUCCCACGUGGCGGACCAGUCAUGCCAAAGGCUUAGGAUAGCAUCAGGUAAACUGUAGGCCCUGCUGGGUGGUCCAGUCAAGCCGAUGGCCCAGUAUGCAUGUUAUUGAUUGUCUGUUACUAACAUGGUAUUAUCAGUGUGGUAUUUUAUGGGUUUUGAGCAAUACAUCAUUCCUAUGGUGUACAUGCAAACCCUAAUAGCUUUUGGAUCUAGUUUGUCUAAUAAACAUGCAAUUAAAUAUCCAAAGCUAUAAACCCUAGAUCUAGCAUACAAUUAAUCAUAUUAACAUAAAAUAGGGUUUAGAUCUUACCUUUGAUUGUUAUAUAGCAAUAACAAUCUAAUCCUUGGCUUCAGAAAGCUUAGUGCCUCAGGUCUUGCACCUCUAAUGGAGUCACAAACACCACUAAGCAACUUGGAUGAAGAGAGAAGGAGCAGCACCCUAAAAUGUCCAGAAACCAUAAGGAAGUCUUAGCCACGUUUUUGGGGCCAUAAGGGUCCUUUAUAUAGGUAGGCUAUUAGGGUUUACAGCUAGGAAACCCUAAUCUGACUGCUUAAGCCCUAAGCAGCCCAUGGAUUCCUUUAACAUAUCCCUUGGACGAUUUCUAACAGGCUUCCCCACAGAAUCCAUCCAACCUAUAUAUUAUUAGGUAAUCCAUAGCCCAAUUGCAAUUAUCUUAUAAUUACAAAUCCAGUCCACUAAGUUUAAUUAAUCUCUUUUAGCCACAAAAGUAAUUCUUAAUUAAUUCUUGAGUAAUAUUAGUUAAAGAUUAUGAAUUCUCCUUUAAUAUAUUAUUCUCAUAAUAUAUUAAUAAAUCAUAAUUAAUCCUUUCUCUCCUUAAUUCAUCCUACAUAUUGUUAUGGUGAAGGCAACCCAAAAGGACCAUGUUCAUAAUCGGGUCAAGCACAUACCAAAAUAGUUAUGGACUUAGACACUAAUCCAACAGUCUCCCACUUGGAUAAGUCUAAUAACUAUUUUGCAUAACUUCAGAACCUGAUCAGCAAUCGAAGCUUUCAAAAGCCGCUGUCAACUCUGAGCUUAUCAGAUACGCGUGUCCUUUAGAUAAGGGAUCAUAUAUUCCUCCAUUCUCAAGAUAUCGUGUAGACAUAAGACAUGAAUUUAAUCAUUCUUUCUAUACUGUUUCCCAACUUCCGAUUUAUGACGACUGACAACAGACUACAAUUAAACACAUCAACUUAGUCCCAGCUUGGCCAAGCGCUUAGGUGUCAUAUCUGAAUCAUCAAGGGGCCCACAUAUAUCGCUUUUAUCCCACUUUGGGUAAAAGGAAUCGAUAAACUUCGACUCAAAUGCUCGCUUGCAUUUACUGAUCGAAUCACACACAACAAUAAGUUUUAUAACACCAAGUUACUGGUGCGUUUACUUAUUAUCAAUGUGCAACCGACCAAUAAAUAGCAACUCACACAUCUCGGUUUCAAGAAUAUACAAUAUUAUCGACUCACAAUCACUCGCGAUAUAAUCCAUGAAGUGACUCACGUGAGUGUGGGUUUAAUCCAAUACUCUAAUAUUAUCAAAGUACUCAUGAACCCUGCAGCAAACUUGUGCUAUGUCUAAACCCUUCAGACAAUCUACAGACUCUUCAUGACAGUCUUCCUUCAUACCUACUUCCAACGUAUGACUGACUGUGGAGGUUCGAAAAACCCAGUUAUUUUGGAAGUCAAAACAUGCAAACUAAAACAUAACAAUAAUACUUAAUCCUAUAUGGCCCCAAACUUGUGAGAGUAAUUAAAAUAUUUCUAUUUAUCCACCAUAUUGAUUAAUCAUUAUUUAUCAUUUAAUGUUUCGGAUAAUCAACUCAUUACUUGAAUUACAACAACAAUUGUCCCAUGCUCCAAGCACGCACACUUUUUUUCCUAUGGUCCAUGCUUUGUGAAAUAGAUCAACUGAAAACUUUUCCAGUGAUGCUCAUUUCACAAUUCCUUAAUCCUCAUUGUUAGUGUAAGAACACAAGGUUCUUGCCACUACUAGAAUAUGUUAGAUUCUAACAUUUUAUGCAACGAUCCUUUCGCAAAGCCAUAGCACAAAAGUCACUAAGACUUGGCCAAUGAAAUUACAAGGUCUCUAUCAGAGAUUGUUAUAAGACAAUUCUAUAGACGUGAUGUCUCUCACUCAAAGUACAUUCCUUUGAACAUCCUUUUGUAUAAAAUUUUCUAAUCUAGACAUAAAUUCUCAAUUUCCAACUCCCAAUAUGAAACAUUUCCAUAUUUGACAUAUGACAACUAAUUCUUAUUAGAAUCUUAUCUAUUCAUAAUAAUGUCGAUAUGGUCCAUCCAAUACCAUGCUUCCAACUACUCAUAAGAGACCAAUCCUCAGCGAACUUUGGAUCGUCCUUUGAUAGCUGUUUAAUUAUUUUAGUCAAAACUGAUUCUGGUCCUUUUUCCCUCUUAAUGCGCUAGACAUUUGGAAAAUUUUAGAAUGGUCAAAUAUUAUAGAAUUUGCAAAUAAUCCUAUACCUGAAGCGUAUGGGACACGAUGCAUAAUGUCUUCAUAAAGAUAUGAUACUUUAUCAAUCUUCUGCCAUAAUAUUUUAUGUGUCAUGUUCUUACAAUUCGAACUAUGAAGAGGGAUGCUAUAAUCAUAUUCGAAAUUUAAGAACACACUAUGUAUCCUUUGACUAAUUUUAUUAAAAUUUCUCAAUCUAAGCUUUAGAUUUUGAAACAAAGUAUAAUAUUCUCUCCCUUAAUUAUAGCAAAACAACUUUUCAACCCUUGCGACUUUGCAAAGUAUAACUCUUGUUUUCUAUAAUCAUACAAGCAUAACAUUUAUUCUCCCACUAUCAUGAUGAUUCUUAUCAUAUAAGCAUAACACUUAUGCUCCCACUAGCUUUGACAUGUAUUCAGAAAAUAGCUGAACUUCCAGAAAACAAUACCUAUUGAAUUUCUGAAGUUCAUAUUUCUAAUACCAGAAGCUUCGAUAAGCCUUUAUCUAAGCUUCUUAAACUUAUACACCUUUUCCUUAGAAAGCUCACAUGUAUGUCUAGAAAAAUUCAGAACUUAUGUUACUAAGUCCCAAAUGUUUAAACUAAUUGCCAAAUCUCACAAUUCGAACUAUGGAAAGGGAUGCCGUAACCAUAAUCGAAUUUAAGAAUACAAUUUUCACAAUUGCUAUCUUCUUAAAAUCUCUCUUAGUGAAAGCAUUUCCUCACAAUCGUUUUCAUGAAGGAGGGAAUCUUAUGACACUUAGAUUUUAUGGUGUAUGAGUUCCUAUCCAUGUGAAUUUGUCAAAACCAAAGUUUACGACAAAUCCAAACUCAUAUGGACCGAACUUUCUUAAUCUUGAUUUCUUGCCUUAUGGUAACACGAGUGCCCAACAUGUCUUCCAAGUAGUUCAUCAACUUAUAUCAAUGUACUUUCCAUCAAUCAAGGUGCUUUGUCUUUAUGCAUUCAAAUGAGAACUCAUAGAACUCACAUACAUAAUUAACUCAAUUGAAAUGGCACAGAAACAAAAUAAUGUCAACAUGAUAGGUUGUAAACCUCAAGUCGUGUGCUAGUGAUGGUUGAUAAGGUUUAUUCUUGAUUUGUUCUUGAAACCUUUUUCAAGAUCAUUAAAACUCUCACUGACCUCUUGACAUAUAUGAUUCUCUUGUCAGGAAACUUUCCAAGACAAAACAAAUAUUCAAGAGUUAGUGUAGUUCUUAUCAAGAUAAAACACUUCACAAAAUUGGUCCUAGUUGGUCUUUGUCUUAUCCAAGACAUCACAACUUACCAAUUUCAAGUGUGCAAGAAUAAGAAAACUUUUCCAAAUUCCACAUUUGAUGAGUGUUAUAAACCUUCUUCAGACUUGUCACUCAAUUCACAGUCUUGGAGUAUAACUCUAAGACUUGAUGUUGGAACGAAGUAUGAUUGACUUCUUGAUUUUAACCAUUUCCACAAUUCUCGAUUCCUCUUCUUAGACAUACAAAUGCACUAUGACUCACUUAGAGGAUCAAUUGAGAUAUGGUUCUUAAUCAUUAAGACUUAUCAUAAAACAUAACAAAAGGUACUCUCCCUUCUUCUUAGAAUAGAGAAAUUUUUAUCUUUCUGCCUACUUGAUUCUUCUUUAUUCGUUCUGCUAUUUAUUGGAACUCUUUCAAUCAACUCAGAAUUACACUUAAUAUUAUAAGUAUAAUCAUAUUUACUAAACCUUAGUUAAUCAUGAUGAAUAUCUUUGUUACUCUUAUGGUGGACAUGAUCAACACACAACCUUGUGUACUCGAUCUCAUAGUCCUUCACUUAACACUUUGUCAAUGAAUUAGUCUAAUUUCCAAAUAUGAAAUUUCUCAUUCAUCACACAACCAAGUUGCAUGAUUCCAAGUUUCUGUCCAAUUGAAACUUGGGCGAUGAGAAACUCUCUCUAUUUGGUAAAUUCUUGACAUUUCCACAAAUAACAUAAUUAAGAAUCAAAUCCAUUAUUGCUAUUAAUAGAAACAUUCAAACAUCAAUUUUUCAUACACGCCAUUGCAAUGAUAAAUAAAUAAUAUAAAAUCAAAAUUUAUUUUAUUGCGGAAAAUUUUGUCCUUACAAUGCAAUUCAACUGAAAAACUAUGUUGUUACAUAUUCCUAAGCAAUCUGUUCUAACUCCAAGUCAUAGAUCAAGAAUCAAUCUUCAAGCAAUGCAAUAGAAAUCGAUUUCUUCACGAUUAGAUUUAUCUCACUUCUUCCCUUAAGCUUCCUCUCUUUUCUUCGAUCCUACAAAACAUCAAAAUGUAAUCUUAUCACAUCAUGUAUUAAGAAUCUAGAAUAGGAACUUAAAAGAGUUAGUUAAUGGAUUUUACAUGAAGUAGAUCCAUACGUCUUGACUGUCCCAUCUCUUACAUCUCUCAGGUAAAUAAGGCAGCUUCAUCUCCAAUGCCCCUUCUCUUAGAAAUAAAAGCAAAUGGACUCCUUUGGAAUGGCACAAAGAACUAUCUCAGAAUUUACCUUUUCAGGAUCUCCAAUGUCACCAUUUUCAAUGUCCAUUGAAGUUUGGGAGUUUGAUUCACCAGACAAAUUUGCUUGACCAGCACGCCAAAUCAUUGCUGAUUCAGCAGCUACAAGCAAAUAUGUGAGAUCAAUGAGGGUCACAUAGUGAUCCAUCAUAUAGUACUCUCUAACGAACUCACUAUAUGAUUCAGGAAGUGACUGAAGAACCCAGUCAACAGCCAACUCACUUGAAAUCUCGACACCCAACAUCCUUAACCUAUCAAUGUGUGACUUCAUCUCUAAGACGUAUGCACACACAGGUUUCCCAUUUUCGUGUUUACUUGUCAAAAGGGCUUGAGUGAGCUUGAACUUUUCAAGCCUUCGGACUUGUGGGUUCGGGAGAACAAUUGGAGGAGGUGGAGGAAGUGAAGCAUGAUUUCUUGUUCCUCGAUCAUAUCGUGGAAUAUCAUCUUCAUUUGGAAAACUUCUUCCAAGGGAUUUGGGAAGACCAUGAUUGUCAGAACUAGACAUCUACUAAACGGGAGAAAAUUCAAGUUAAGUUGAUUAGAAUCCUUGAUGUAACACCCAAAUGAAACAUCAAGGCUAGGAUCCAACACAAUACUCUACAACCUAGAAGAGGGAUGUCGUGAUCUAGUUGCAGAAUAUUUGAAGGUAGGUAAAUGACGAUUUACCAAUUUCCACCAUGAAAAACGAAGAACGAGUUUAUGUUUUAAAUGAAUUGAAACUCCUAGAUCUUUUGAGAUUCAUUGAACUUUUCAAUGGCAUGUUUAAUCUCGAUUAUGCCCUUCUAUUUGUGACUGGGAUGCCGAGAAUCACAAAUAAGGUGUGAAUAACCAUACGAAUCAAUGUUCCGGUUAGCCACACACGCUCCAUUGAUCUAUGAUAAACAUCGAGCCACCCUUCGCUACCAAUGUCAUCCCCAAAUUAGUGUGUCAGUUAACCACACACACUCCACUAACGUUUGACAAGGGUAUGAAGUGUAAUUCCAUGGAUUAGCAUACAAUUUCAGAUUUUGCCUAAAGUAACUAUGAUUUGGGAAUUUGUAAAAGCAUUUAGUUACUUUUGUAUUUCAUUAUACUUAUAAUGGAAGGUUUCUGUCCUAUCCUACCCAUUCAGCUAACGACCCUCCACUAGUCAAGAGUGCAGUGGGUAAGAGUGGAUACCCAUUCAAUCGCCAUUUUAUAGGCAAUUUCCUUAAACACCCCUUAUAGACCACCUUCGUGAAUGAGGCCUACUAACGGUAAGACUAACUCAUUAUUCAUAUAUAUAAUAUUAGACUUUUAAUGUUACAUAUAUAUAGUAUAGGGUGUAUUUUACACUUUUAAAAUACUAGGUGGUCUAAUUUAAUAAAUUAUACUUUUAAUUUAAUUAAAUGUAAACCAAAAGUUUAUGGGUUUGUUAAAUCUCUUUUAAUUAUACACUUUGAUUAAUUAAUAAAACCAUAAGGGUGUGAUUUGAACUUUUCAAAACAAUACUAGGGUUUUAGAAUUUAACAUUUCAAAAUUAAACUUUUAAUCAACUUUUAAAUUCCAAAACUUGAGGGCAAGCUUUAAAACAUUUCAAAACAUUAGGGUUUAGAAUUUAAAUAUAUUUCAAAAUUAAACUUUUAAUUAAAAAUUUAAAUUCCAAAACUUGAGGGUAAGUUUUGAAACUUUUCAAAACAUUAGGGUUUAAUUAUUUAAAUUUCAAAAACAAAACUUUUAAGUUCAAAUUUAAACUAUAAAACCUAAAGGGUGCAGAUUGAAACUUUUCAAACUAAGUCAAAUAUUUAUCUAAUAAUAAUCCUAUAUUAUCCAUAUUUAACCAAAUCCAUUAAUUUUGAUAAGGAUAAUCAUUCCAAACAUAAAAAAAUGAUUUUAGGCAAUAAAAAAAGUUUUGGUAAUUAUCCACAUCAAAAUCUGGCCAAAAAAUCGAAAAUUCCAUCAACAGACCCUUGGACUCAUCGAGUCCACCAUGGAACUCGUGGAGUUGGACCAACUCGUCGAGUCCAUGAAUGGAAUUGGCGAGUUAGCCUCUCAAAUUGCAAAAUUUUCGAUUUUCCUGAUCUUUGGCAGUCUAAUUUGGCAACAAAUUCACUAACAAACAACCCUAUUCUAUGAUACCACUGAUAGGUUUUUAGCAAUACAUCAUUCCUAUGGUGUACAUGCAAACCCUAAUAGCUUUUGGAUCUAGUUUGUCUAAUGAACAUGCAAUUGAAUAUCCAAAGCUAUAAACCCUAGAUCUAGCAUACAAUUAAUCAUAUUAACAUAAAAUAGGGUUUAGAUCUUACCUUUGAUUGUUAUAUAGCAAUAACAAUCUAAUCCUUGGCUUCGGAAAGCUUAGUGCCUCAAGUGUUGCACCUUUAAUGGAGUCACAAACACCACUAAGCAACUUGGAUGAAGAGAGAAGAAGGAGCAGCACCCAAAAACGUCCAGAAACUGUAAGGAAGUCUUAGCCACGUUUUUGGGGCCAUAAGGGUCCUUUAUAUAGGUAGGCUAUUAGGGUUUACAGCUAGGAAACCUUUAACAUAUCCCUUGGACGAUUUCUAAUAGGCUUCCCCACAAAAUCCAUCCAACCUAUAUAUUAUUAGGUAAUCCAUAGCCCAAUUGCAAUUAUCUUAUAAUUACAAAUCUAGUCCACUAAGUUUAAUUAAUCUCACCCACAAAAGUAAUUCUUAAUUAAUUCGUGAGUAAUAUUAGUUAAACAUUAUGAUUUCUCCUUUAAUAUAUUAUUCUCAUAAUAUAUUAAUAAAUCAUAAUUAAUCCUUUUUCUCCUUAAUUCAUCCUACAUAUUGCUAUGGUGAAGGCAACCCAAAAGGACCAUGCUCAUAAUCGGGUCAAGUACAUAACAAAAUAGUUAUAGACUUAGACACUAAUCCAACAGUAUUGGUAUUUUGGGGGUAGCUCACUAAGCUCUUGGGCUUACAGUUUCAGUUUAUUGUUUCAGGUACUUCAGUAGAUCAUGGCAAGGCGAAGGCGUGACCGUACCGCUCCACAUCCUUUUGUUCUAGUUAUUGGGACACUCUGAUGAAUAAUGAUUUGAAAACAUGUUGUAAACAAAUACUAUUUGGUUUUAGUUAUGAUUGGAAAAGUUUAAAUUUGGCGUAAAUUUUUGGAUGUUACAAGUUGGUAUCAGAGCCUUGGUUUGAGUGAAUUGGAGGAACACUCGUGUGAAUCCAGUCUCAAAUCAAGGGAAUUUUCAGAAUAAAUACUAAAAUGGUUUUCAAAACAAAGGAUGAAGGAUGCAGAGGGCACGAUCAGCCGGAGCCUGUAAGUAAGCCCCAAAAUACCAUACAGUUAUUUGAUAUUAUGAUAUGAUAGAACAUCAUGCUAGUGCUAGGUUAGGAAUCUUCAGGAAUCGCAGGAUAAGAUUUGCCUGAUUAUAUGAUGCCUACUAGCCUAGGGUUCUUGUAUAUGGAAUUGACAUCAUAACUGUAGAUGUUUAGUGUAUGCAUCACGGCUGUGUGUAAUCAAGAUCUUAUAGCCUGAGAAUGUCUGAUUCGACUUUAGUGUAGUAUUGGAUAUUCGAAAGUCUAUCGGGUCCAACAUUAUGUGUGGCUAGCAUACACUAGUGCUGUAGGGUUGGUGAAAGUUUCAUGGAUGUGUGAGUUGUGAGAAGUUAUGAGACCAGAUGCGAGAUAGUCUAUAUUCCCCUAGGAGGGAGGGUUGAGCGCGUAUUAUGUUGAUGAUAGUGUUAGGGCAUUGUGGUGAUACUUGAGACCAAUAUGGGUAGGUGUGGAAGGUAGUAUGGGCCCGUACUACUGAAAGCACAGUACUCAUACACGUAGCAAGGAAGUCACAACCCCUAAGGUUGUGGGAAUUGGUCUCCCGAUAUUAUGUCAUUUAUCUGACGUCUUGGUUAUAUUUUUCAGUAUGGUGGUGACGAGGCGUUUUACUACUGGAUCCGGAUCAGGAUCAGGAUCGGGAGGCGGAGGGUCGGAGGUGCCGGUAGCACCUGAGCCUGUGGUAUAGAUAGGGACAGAGGAGUUGGAUGCCAGGAUUCGGGAGAUUCUGCACGACGAGAUUGUUGCGGCGUUCCGAGCGUAGCUGUCGGAGAUGUUUGGGUCGAUUAAGACCGUGAUGGUUGAGUACUUUGACGAGCGAUUUGCAGCUCUAGCAGAGACAACGGACGCUACAGCUACAUCGGCUGUAACCGCGGCAGGGGUUGGAGGAGUAGCCGACAGGGCUUUCUAGUACCGGGACUUCCAUAACACGAAGCCCCCGAUGUUUGAUGGUAUACAAGAUGCGAUCAGGGCUAUGAGGUGGUUAUCUGACGUGGAUGGCUGUUUCUUCACGUCUUCUUGUCCUGCUGACCAAAUGGUCAGGUGUGCCCUGAACCUGCUGAGGCUUGGAGCAAAGUACUGGUGGAGGUUGAUGACAGGGUUGUACACUGAUGAUUAGCGGACUGCUGUUACUUGGGAGCAGUUUCGGGAUAUGUUCCGCACCCGCUACAUUCCACGCGUUGAGUGGGAGCGGCUUGCUCAGGAUUUUUUGACACUAAGGCAGGAUGGGGAGUCAGUGAUGGAGAUCACUCGUGUGUUCAUGUACAAGGCUAUGUUUUGCCCGGAGUUUGCUUCAGAGCAGUCUCAGAUGACUCGUUAUCUGAGUAUGCUCAAGACUGAUAUUCGACAGUUUGUUGCUAUGCAACGUUGUGAGAAUCUUUUGGAUCUUCAGGAAGCCGUGAGGUGGCCUGAGUUGGAGAUAGAGCUGCAGUUUAAGGAGCACCGUCAGGUUCUGGCACAGACUCAGCCGGCACCUAAGCGGUCCAAGAUCGCUGAUACUCGGACCGGGGUCAGCAGAGCCGCACUUGUGGAAAGUGUGGCAGGGGUCAUUCUGGGGUUUGUCGAGUAGGAUGUGGUUACAAUAAAUUUGGCAAGGAGGGGCAUUAUGCCAGGGACUGUCUCCAGUCCACCCCUCCAGCAGAUAUGAGGAUUUGUUACCAUUGACAUCAGGUUGGUCACGUGAAGACCAACUGUCCGCAGCUCGCCGCCAAGCCGACGCAAGGAUCCAUACAUGCUACUUUGAGGAUUGGGUAUGGGAGGCCAGUCAAGGUGGAGCCUCCGAAGGCUUAGGGACGUGCCUUCCAGCCUACGGCCGAGGAGGCCAAGGCAGCACCAGAUAUGGUUGCUGGUAUGUUUCUAUUUUUCUGUUCCAGUUCUUAUGUAUGUGUUAUGCUUAUCAGUUGUACCUGUGUUUAGGAACGUUUUUAGUAAAUUCUUUGCCUGCUUUGGUAUUAUUCGACUCGGGAGCGAGUCGGUCGUUUGUAUCUCAGACUUUCAGUAGAGAGUUCAUUAUGUCGAUAGAUGAGCUUGAGUGUCUGUUGUGAGUUUCGAUCGCCAACGAGCACAGGGUUUCUGCUUCUUCGGUCUACCGGGGAUGCAAGUUGGAAAUUUUUGGGGUAUCCUUCCCGAUAGAUUUGAUUCCUAUUCCCAUGGGGGGAAGUAUGUGUGAUCGUAGGGAUGGAUUGGUUCAGUCGGUUUGGAGCCAUGAUCUACUGUGAGGGGCAGCGAGUUGUAGUUCAAACCCCAAGUGGGGGAGAACUGGUAGUGUAUGGUGAGUGCACCAGAGUGGGAGCACGGUUUUGUUCAGCCACCAGGGCUCGACAUUCCAUUCAGCAUGGGUGUGUCGGUUAUCUAGCGUAUGUGGUGGAUACGCGGAUUGGGGAUCAUGCUUCAGUUUCAGAGGUCCCAGUGGUUAGAGACUUUGCUGAUGUGUUUCCAGAGGAGUUGCCUGGAGUUCCUCCGGAGAGGCAGGUAGAGUUCAGGAUUGAUCUAUUACCGGGUGCGGCCCCUAUCGCUAAGGUGUCGUACCGUCUGGCAUCGCCAGAGAUCCAGGAGUUGGCAUCUCAGUUGCAGGAGCUGCUGGGAAAGCAGUUUAUUCACCCGAGUAGUUCUCCUUGGGGAGCACCGAUCCUCUUCGUUAGGAAGAAGGAUGGUUCGCACAGGAUGUGCAUUGACUAUAGGGAGUUGAACAAGUUAACGGUGAAGAACCGUUAUCCACUCCCGAGGAUAGAUGAUCUUUUCGAUCAGCUGCAGGGUGGAUCUUGGUUUUCCAAGAUCAAUUUGAGAUUCGGUUAUCACCAGGUCAGGGUGAGGGAGGAAGACGUGGAGAAGACCACGUUUCGGACUCGUUAUGGUCAUUACUAGUUCGUGGUUAUGCCGUUUGAGCUCACCAAUGCACCAGCAGUGUUCAUGGAUUUGAUGAACCAAGUCUGAAGACCGAUGCGCGAUCGCUCGGUCAUUGUGUUCAUAGAUGAUAUCUUGGUGUAUUCCUAGACUCGAGAGCAGCACGAGGAGCACCUCAGGGAGCUGUUGAAGGUUUUGCGGCGAGAACGACUGUAUGCCAAGUUCUUGAAGUGUGAGUUUUGGUUACGAGAGGUCCAAUUCCUCGGACAUCUCGUUAACCAGGAGGGGAUUUUGGUCGACCCGGCUAAAGUCGAGGCGGUUAUGCAGUGGGAGAUUCUGAAAUCUCCCUCAUACAUCAGGAGUUUCUUGGGAUUAGCAGGGUACUACCAUAGAUUCAUUCGAGAUUUCUCCAAGAUUACGGUACCCCUCACUCAUCUAAUGAGGACAAGGGUGGAUUUCUGGUGGGGCCCCGAGCAGCAGAGGGCGUUUGAGACCCUCCGAUAGUGUUUAUGUGAGGUACCAGUGUUGAUGCUCCCCGAGGGAGUAGAGGAUUUCGUAGUAUUUUGUGAUGCAUCCAUCACGGGCUUGGGGGCAGCCCUCAUGCAGAGGGGACGAGUGAUAGCCUAUGCAUCGCGGCAACUGAAGCCGCAUGAGACGAGAUACCCUAUGCAUGAUCUGAAGUUGGGAGCGGUAGUAUUCGCUCUCAAGAUUUGGAGGAAUUAUCUGUACGGGGUCCGUUGCACUAUAUACAUAGAUCACAAGAGUUUGAGACACAUCAUGUAUCAGCCGAACCUGAACAUUAGGCAGCGCAGGUGGCUGGAUGUAGUCAAGGAGUAUGAUUGUGAGUUCCUUUACCAUCAUGGUAAACCGAAUGUGGUUACGGACACUUUGAGCCGCAAGUCAGCUAGGUCUUCUACCCCAGAAAGGUGUAUGAGGAUUGCGGUGGAUUCCCCACUUGUGAGCUUGAUUGGGGAUGCUUGGGUUGAGGGCAUGAAACCAGAGAAUUGGAAGUUGGAAAGGAUUAAGGGCAAAAGCGCUCGAUUUGUUCAGGAUAGCCGCAGAUUAUUGACCCGACACGGUUGGGUUUGGGUUCCGAUGUCCGGAGGGGUCUGGCAGAAAGUGAUGGAGGAGGCUCAUAAGUCUCACUUUUCUAUACACCUGGGGGCCACCAAGAUGUACCGCGAUCUGAGAUUGAGUUACUGGUGGCCCAGCAUGAAGCGAGAAAUCGCUUGGUAUGUUGAGAGGCACCUGACCUGUAGGAUGGUCAAGGUCGAGCAUCAGAGGCCGCAUGGUAAGUUGCAGCCUCUGGAGAUUCCCAUGUGGAAAUGGGAGCAGAUCGCGAUGGACUUCAUUACGAAGUUGUCGAGGACGACGAAGGGGUUCGAUACUAUAUGGGUCAUCGUAGAUCGGUUGACCAAGAGUGCCCAUUUCUUGGCCAUACGGGAGAGUUCGUCGGCUGAGAAAUUGGUCAAUAUGUACGUCAGCGAGAUUGUCUCUCGCCAUGGGGUUCCAGUCUCUAUGGUUUCCGAUUGGGAUGUCAGGUUUACUUCCCGGUUUUGGCAGAAGUUCCAUGAGGAACUGGGUACGCGGCUGCACUUUAGCACAUCAUUCCAUCUGCAGAUCGAUGGACAGAGUGAGAGAACCAUUCAGCCCUCGAAGAUAUGUUGAGGGCGUGCGUCAUUAACUUCGGUGGGAGUUGGGAUUCCCACCAGCCGCUUGUAGAGUUCGCCUACAACAACAACUAUCAUUCCAGUAUUGUCGCCCCGCCUUUUGAGCUGUUGUAUGGUCAGAGAUGUAGAACCCCAGUUUGUUAGGGUGAGGUUGGACACAGAGUGAUGCGUCGGAUGGAGGUAGUCUUACAGAUGACCAAAAAGAUCCAGCAGAUUAGAUAGCGGGUGCAGUCCGCUCAGAGUCGGCAAAAGAGUUACGCGGAUAGACGCCGAUCAGAUUUGGAGUUUCAGGUGGGUGACAUGGUACUUCUAAAGGUCUCGCCCUGGAAGGGUGUGAUCCGCUUCAGGAAGAGUGGAAAAUUGGGUCCUCGUUAUAUUGGGCCAUUCAGGAUCAUUUCCAGGGUUGGCAAAGUGGCUUAUAGGCUAGAGUUACCAGAGGAGCUCAGCCAAAUUCACAGCACGUUUCAUGUUUCGCAAUUGAAAAAGGGCAUUAUAGACCAGGAGGCGGUACUAUCGCUGGAUGAUAUUCAGGUCAAUGAGCGUCUAAAUUACGUGGAGAGGCCUAUGGCCAUCUUGGAGAAGAAGAAGAUUUUACGGAACAAAGAAAUACCUUUGGUAAAGGUGCAGUGGGAACAUCGGAGGGGAUCCGAGUGGACAUGGGAACCGGAGGCAGAGAUGUGUGAGCAUUACCCGACAUUGUUAACUCCAGCAGACUUCGAGGGCGAUGUCUAUAUCAAGUGGGGGAGAAUUGUAAUGCCCUGAUUCGCAGGUAUUGAUUUGAAUGAAAGUUUAUUUGGUUUUAAGAUCUACUCGACGAGUUGCUUUCCCUACUCGUCGAGUAACAACGGGGUGGGAUCGUGUGUCUAGUGGCCUACUUGCCGAGUCCAAGAAGGGACUCGACGAGUAGGAGUUGGCAGAUGAAACCCUAAAUCCCGGGGUUUUGCACCCUAUUUAAAGAAGCACAAGCCUCUUUCAGCCUCUUUACAGUCCCUUGAGAGCUUAGCAAAACCCUAAUAUAUGUGUGCGUGUGUGUGCCCAUUCUGUGUUUGAAGCUUUGGAAGAGGAUUGUUGGUGAGAAUAGCUUAGGGAAACAAGUGUAUUGAAGCAAGGAACUCGGGGGAAAUCAAGAUCUACUUUAGUUGGCAUCUUUUGGGAAGGUAUUAAGUUGUUAUCUUAAUCCCAUUUCGUUCUAGACCUACUUGGAUGGAGUUUAGGGUGUCUUGGUUUGGUCAUGGAGCUAUUUCUGGGGUAUAAGCUCAUAUUUGAAGUUGUAACUUCAAAUCUGAACUCUCUGUGAAUUGUAAGACCAUAAAGCUUUCAGUCUUGGCAAGUACGAACCCCUUCCUAAGUGUAAAACCCCAUUUCAAGCUUAUUUUUGGCACUUUGAGUCAAUAGAGCCUUGCAUGCACGUAAAGUUUGCAACUUUAUGUGAUAAGCAUGCUUAAGGAAGUUGGAUCUGCAAUUUGGGGCCUUUCCAUGGCUUAAAAAGUGUAUGCAUGGUGAAAUGACUGAAGGGACUCGGCGAGUCGCAUAGUCGACUCAGCGAGUCAUAUGAAGAUAUGCAUUGAACUCGACGAGUUGGAUGAACAACUCGGCGAGUCUGAUGAAGAUUGUCGUAGACUCGACGAGCUGAAUGAACAACUCAGCGAGUCAGUUAAGGUUUCCCAGUUGAUGAAUGCGUGUGAACUUGUCGAGUUGCAAGAAGGAAAACUCGACGAGUGGCCUUAGAGCUUCGAUCGAGAACCUUAGCAACUCGAUAAGUCACCCCGGUGACUCAUCGAGUUGCUAUUGUUAUGGUAUGCUACAUGUGGUUAUGAUCUGGUAGAUCGGAAUUAGGAUAGACAGUAUGUUAUGCUCUUAUGAUCCGUAGGGAUUGGUAUGUCAGUGACCUGCGAGGUCGGUGCUCUAGUUACGAUAGAUUUCUAUGAUUGAUGAUCAGUGAGAUAGAUAUGUUGAUAUUUGUAUAUGCCAUUAUGUGAUAGAUAUGCGCACAUGGUUAUUUGAUUGUUGGUUGGGUUGAGGCGGUCCUGCUUUGUGUUGAAGGCCAACAUACCCUAUGAGCGGUCUGGGGAGACUGUAGGCCGACGUGGCGAACCAAUCAUGUCGAAGGCUUGGGAUAGGAUCAGGUAGACUGUAGGCCCUGCAGGGGGGUCCAUUCAGGCCGAUGGCCAGUAUGAAUGUUAUUGAUUGUCUGUUACUGACAUGGUAUUAUCAGUGUGGUAUUGGUAUUUUGGAGGUAGCUCACUAAGCCCUCAGGCUUACAUUUUCAGUUUAUUGUUUCAGUUACUUCAGGAGAUCAUGGAAAGGUGAAUGUGUGACCGUACCGCUCCUCAUCCUUUUGAUCUAGUUAUUGGGACACUCUGAUGAAUAAUGAUUUGAAAAUAUGUUGUAAACAAAUACUAUUUGGUUUUAUUUAUGAUUGGAAAAGUUUAAAUUUGGCGCAAAUUUUUGGAUGUUACAAACACUCUAAAUUUUCAAACAAAAUUUUCAUUUUUAAUUCACUUAAAAUCAGUAUCACAUCUUCUCAAAACCACAGUGUAUCAAAUGUCAAAAACACAAAUCAACAAAACAACUUAUAAUAUCCCAAAAUCCUCGACAUAGUCUCGAACAGGUGUGUACAAUGAAUUCGGCGUCUUCUCGCGAUCUUGAGAAGUACCUGAAAGACAUAUCACACAACACGGUAAGCACGAAGCUUAAUGAGUUCUCCAAAAUACCACAUACACAAAUAAUAAGCCUCUCAUGGCUAUAGCUCGGCAUGGACCCUCCGUCCAUGCGUCUCGGUGAGGACCCUCUGGUUUCACGGCUCGGUGUGGACCCCCCGGUCAUGUGUCUUAGUGAAGACCCUCCAGUCUCACAGCUCGGGUUGGACCCUCCAGUCAUGUAUCUCAGUGAAGACCCUUCAGUCUCACAACUCGGUUCGGACCCUCUGGUCCUGCUCAGUAAAUCACAUAAUAAUAUAGCAUAUAUAACAAAGACAAAAUGCAUAAUAUCACAUAACUCAGUAUAAGCACAUAGGACCCUCCGGUCGAUAACUCAAAUAAGACCCUCCGGUCACACAAUAUUACCACUCAGGUAAUUAUAGUGAGAAGACUCACCUCGUAAGUAAGCAAGUAGAUCUAGUACCCCACGGACAGUUUAGACUCCGCCUACAUAAUAUAGUUAUCUCUAAUAAGCAAUUUGUAAUAACCACUUCGAGAUGCUAAGCUAAUCCCCUCCACUAAAUCUCAAAAAAGGUGAAAAUAUCAUUUUACCCCGCAUACUCCUCAUACGCCCAGCGUACGAGGCCUCGCGCUCCUGAUCCUUCCUAUGCAGUACACUAAGCGUACACCACAUUACACCUCGCGUACCACCCUUCACACCAGUACGCCCCGCGCACUAUGGUCUCCUCUUAAACCCUAAAGCACUCCGAACACCAUAACUUCUUCAUUAUAAAUCUGAAUCCGACGAUCCUUAUAUCCAUGAAAAGGUAAUGAGAUGCUCUACGCUUUAAUCAACUCAUACUUUUCUUACAAUUUCCCAAACAAACAUCUAAUUUCCAUAAAAGCCCGAGCUGACAUAUUACCAAAAUACCCUUUGGCACCAAAACACAAACUGAAAAACCGGAUCAUCUAAAUUACAUCAUCCACCUCCAAAUGAGUCUAACUCUCAGUUCUUCAAGGGUCCUAAGUCUGCUAAUACCCACUCCUUGAUCACCACCCGAAAUGGGAAAUGAUUCGAAACAGGGCAUUACACACACACUCUCAAGGGUUAGGGUUUGCAAAAACGUCCCAAGGAGAGUGAAGGUUGAAGAGGUUAGGUAAAUACGAUUAUAAGGAUGAUUAUAUAGGGGCUUAACCCUAAAAUUUAGGGUUUCUACACCUGGAGAGUACGCCUAACAUACUAGGGCAUGCACUAGUACGCUAAGUGUACGCACGUACGCAUGGCGUACUCCCAUUCUUCCAAAUUUACAAUUUUGCCACUAGGGCCUACAAUGGACACAUUCACUUGGACUUAGGGACCAAAAAUGUCACAAACAAAAAUUAUAGGAAUGAAUUUAGAAGUACCUUAACAUCGGGAUGUUACAGAUAAUGUUUUUUCAGGUCCCAUUUUCACCUAUCUCCCUCGGUUUGUGCUUAAACACAUUAAACCCCAUAUAAAAUUUGCAGCAACUUGACUUCCUUUUAGAAAACCCAUGUGGGGUUUUCAAUAUCUCCUUCUUGUCACUUAAUUUUUUUUCCAGAAAUCAGGAAACAUGGUUUUUGCGGGUUUCUUUUCUUUUCCAAAAUUUUAAUAUGAAAUUCAUGUAUCUUUGAUUUCUUUGUUGUUGGUUUUCUUUGUUUCCAAUUUGUUUGUACUUUGAAUUGAAUCUAAUAUGGGUCAUGAACUUCUCUUCAACAGUCUUAAUUGAAGAAUUGUGAUUCUGAGUCUAGAUCAUACCCAUGUGAAAAACGAUUGGGAACAAUAAAGAAAUCAAAAAAUUUGCCUAAUGAUUUCGAUUCACUAAUUUAAGCCCUUAAUACUUAGAGGUCAUGAUAAUAAAUCUCAUUAUUUACACUACUUUUUAGUAUUUUAGGCUUGAAAAUCCUGACUCUGAAGAGGUGAAAGAAUUUGUAAAAAAAAGCAAGUGAAUUUGACUGAAUAUGUGCUUAAGAAGUGUAAGACAAGGGUCUGAAAGGUGAAAGAAUUUGUAAAAAAGCAAGUGGAUUUGACUGAAUAUGUGCUUAAGAAGUGUGAGACAAGGGAAAACUUCAUGAUAAGCUUACUAAGUUCUAUGACUACCCUAAGUUUAGUGCUCCAUUUAGAGAAGCUGAUAAAUGCUUUUACUUGCAUAACAAUGGCCUUCAACCACAUAAAGUCCUCUCCAUGCAGGUAUACUAUGGUAAUAAUGUAAUUCAAACACCAUGAUUAGAAAUCUUAUUUACCUUAGCUUAUUAUUCUUGUUUUUGUAGGAUAGUUUAGAGGGAGUGGUAGAAGUUCUUCUUAAUCUAAUUGGACUAAGUGAAGAUAGAACUGUGUCAUUGAAUACUUAUGAUGUUAGUGAGGAUGCUAAGUACUUGGCUUAUGCUCUCAGUUCCAGUGGAAGUGAUUAGGUCACUAUUAAAGUAAUGCAGGUUAAGGACAAGAAAGUGGAGCCUGAUACAUUAUCAUGGGUCAAAAUUUUGGGUAUUAGUUGGUCAAAUGAUAACAAAGGUUACUUUUACAGCCAUUACCCUGCUCCCAAGUAAGUUCAAAUGACAUCUGAUAUGGUUUUAAUUAAACAUGUUUAUAAUUUAAAGUAGAUUAGGUUUAAAAUAAAAAAAAUAUUUCUUCAUAUAGCUUCAUUUAUUUAAAUCUAGUCACAUAAUAGCAUUAGUAUUCAUGGAAUGAAAGACUCAAAACAUACCAGAGGCCAUGAAAUGUGGAACUUUGAAGACACUAUGCUGAAACUUUUUGACUUUUGAUGCAAAGAUAAAGAUCCCUGUGAUUAUAUUGUAAGUAACAUGUAUUUAAUAUAUUACAGAAAAAACAUUUUUUGUUCGUACGUUGGUUUAGUGUUUUCACCCAUUUUUAUAAUCCAACAUGCUACUAAGAUAGCAUUUGGAGUGAUGGAAUCGAGGAAGGAAUGUAAAGAAAAAAAUAGAUUGUUUGCCCAUUGGAAUGGAAUUGGUCUUUCUUUCCUCAUCAGGGCAUAUGCUUUUUAAGGUCAUCAUGUAAUGUAAUGCAAAUUUCCAAUAUGUCUAGAUAUUAGUUAAUGUUCAAUUUUUUGUUUCUAAAAGUAACUAAUAACUUAUUAUUUUAUAAUCUUAUUUUGGUUUUAAUAUACUUUUAUUAUGCUUGAUUUGUAGCAUACCCUUGUUCAUGGGAGUGAACAAAAAGUAUGGUGUUCAAGCUUCAAAGGAGUUGAGCUGUUUGUAGAUUAGUGGACCUUUACUCCUUGCUCUUUAUAUCAAGAUGAUCCUCUAUGUUUUCAACUUCAAUAAAUUGCUCAAAUUGGUAAACAAAUUUGCACAUGGAAAAGAAUCCAUACGAAAUGAAGAAACCGGUAAUUUCACUGAUGUCAACAUAAAGGAUUUUGUAACAACAUAAAUUUUCAAAACAAUUUUUUAUUUAAUAUAAAACAUAAGUCAUGAUAAAAUCUCAAAACUCAAAGUAUCAUAUAACAUCUCGGUAAAUACAUCCCAGAAUCUCAAGUACAUAAAAACUUCUUCAGUGUGUACGGAUCAUGCAGACACCUUUCCACGAUCCUCACUGGUACCUGAAACACAUAUCACAUAAAACGGUAAGCAUAAAUACUUAGUGAGUUUCCCAAUAUACCACAUAUAAGACAUACGCCACUCAAGGCCAUAUCUCUAUGGGACCUUCCGGUCCAUGUGUCUCAGGGGACUUACGUCCCAACCCUGGUAGACCUUCCAGUCCUACUCAUAAUAACCUUUCGGUCCUCCUCAUCGACCUUCCGGUCCGUAUCAUCUUGACCUUCCGGUCCAUACAUUGUUGACCUUCCGGUCCAUAUCAUGAUGACCUUCCGGUCCAUAGCAUACUACUCAUAACAUAUCCUAACACAUGCAUCUCACAUAUCAACAUAUAUCGCAUACUCGUCAUAACACAUAAGACCUUCCGAUCACACCUAAUUACCACUCUAGGUAACAUAUAGUGAGAAGACUCACCUCGUAUGUUGUCUAGUAACUCAUGUGCUCGGUAUCCCUGAACCUCGUAACAAUGACCUAGCCCCGCCUAAACAUAUAAAAUAAUCAUCUCUAAUCAAUAACGACUCCCAAGGCUAGACUAGUCCCUUCCUAUGUUCUCUCAGAAGGCUAAAAUACCAUUUUACCCUUCUAAUGGUCCAAAAGUCCAAAUAUUGACCAAACCCUAAAAGUCAACGGGGGCAGUACGCGGUGCCUACCAGCUCUUGUACGCGGGGCGUACUUUGGCGAUCCAAAAUCGGGGUCUCAAACCAUUACGCGGUGCGUACUGAGAUUUACGCCCAACAUAAGUCUCAGUUUCAUGCUCUUAUGGAUUUUUCAUCUUAAACGGUUAAGACAUAAGCUCAAAUUCCAGAUCUGACUAUUCUAAGGUCACUUAAUCCAUAAAGUCGAAACCUUUAAGCCAUUGCAUGGCUGUAAAGGUCAACAAUCACUUUAAACACCUUUCCUCUUUCCUCAUUAAGCCUAUAUCUCAUGCAUGACUUAAUAUUCACGUCCAAGAUUGGAUUUUUAUGAACCUACAACACAUAUUACAUCGGAAUAGGGCAGAUCUAAGCUUAUGGAGACCCUUUGCUCAUAAAGUCUCCACCUUGGAACCAAAAACCCUAAAAAUGGGUCCAUAAAGCAUAAAUCAAGAAUGGCACAGAAAGCUUUGAGCUUUUUACCUCCAAAUGAAGCUCCAACCUCUGUAGAACUCGGAUCUAAGUUUGUCCUCCAACUUCUAGCUCCUACAAUGGCCUCCUCAUCUCUUUCACCGCCUCAAAAUGGCACUUUCCAGCUUAACAACACACACACAAGCUUAUAACGGGUUUUUGCUCUCUUAGGGUUUCACUCACUAUAAUAUGGUGGCUGGGGUAAGGGCCUUAUCAUUCCUUAUAUAGUCCUCAAGUAUCAUUUAGGGUUUUGCAUCUGAGCCAGUUACGCCCAGCAUACCUCGAUGAGUCCGCGCCCAUAAUAAGUGCAUGAGUACGCGCAACGUACUCUUCCGUAUGCCCAGCAUACUCAUUUGCAGCAUUUUCCACUCAAGGGUUAAACUUGACAACUUGGCAAAGAAGAAGGGUUAAAUAGAUGUACCUGAAUUUCGGGAUGUUACAGAUUUUUUGAAACACUUAUAAUUAUAAAGUGGUGAUUUUAAAAAAUUCCGACCCGUGCAACGCACGGGCCUCUUUACUAGUUUAUAAUUAAAGGAAACGAUAAAAACAAAUAUAAAAUUUAACGCAAUAAGUAAUCUCCCAGAUGCCACUAUAAUUUAUAAUUUGUUGGUGAUUUUAGUGUUGUCAACAUAUUUUAGUUUAGUUAUUAUUAAUAAUGAGAUAGGUUGAGCUCUAUUGACUAAUCGAGACAGGAGGUGCAGGGUGCACACUCGGAGUGAUAAAUGUGAACUUAAGAACAUGGGGUUCCAUGGGCAGCACCCCUAGGUGCAAGGUUCCUAAGGGCAGUGCCCCUUACGGGAUCAACAGGCAACACCCCGAAACCUAAACGUAUUUUUAUAUCAAGAAGGACUCGAACCAUGCAUUUCCUGCCAAAAUAAGGUGUGACAUUAUGAUGAUGUCAUAAAGUAGUUAUGUCUUGUAACCAAUCCUUUAUGGUGCCAAAAUGCAUGUAACGAACUUUCAACCAAUUUCUAUCGUCUUUUUAAGGAUGAUUGAAGUUCCAAAAAUUCGGUUGGAACUUGGAUACUCUCGAAAAUCAUACUUCUGAUUCGAUCUAUCUCUUCUAAAUUUGUGCUUCACAUUUAGAAGUGGUAUGACUUAUAAAUUGUCAUUCUUUGGAUUAUCCUAAAUCUGAUUUUGUGAUACCCCAUACUAUAAUCAGGUAUUUUGGAAAGUGAUUGCAAUCACAAUACUAGAAAUAUACAAGUAUAUUGGUAUUUUUCAGACCCCAAAAUCUAACAUUCAAAAUCUGUGAUUUAUAAAGAAUAUCAAUGACAAAAUUUGUUAAAGACAUGACUUCCAAAUUCAGGAAGUUGGAUAUGUUUAAAAGCACUGAUUUUCAUCGUUGGCAAAAGAAGAUGCAUUUUCUUCUUACUACACUGAAAAUUGUUCACAUUUUAAGCACUCUGGCACCAGAAGCCCAAGAGAAUGAAAUAUUGGAACACACCAGAAAACGCUAUAAAUGGGGGAAUGAUGAUUACAUCUGUCGUGGACACAUUCUGAAUGGUAUUUCUUACUCUUUCUUUGAUAUCUAUCAAAAUCAUGAAUCUUCAAAAGAUCUGUAGGAUGCCUUGAAUCCAAAUACGUGGCAGAGGAUGCUUUAAGUAAGAAAUUAAUUGUUAAUAAUUUUAACAAUUACAUGAUGGUGGAUUCAAGGCCUAUCAUGGAAUAGUACAAUGAACUCAUUAGGAUUCUAGGACAAUUUGAACAACACAAGAUGCAAAUAGAUGAAUCCAUUUUUGUCUCAAGUGUUAUUGACAAAUUACCCCCAUCCUGGAUCUUCUAUGAACAUGGGGGAAGAUGACAAACAUCAGAAAAAUAACAAAGGAAAAAGGAAGAAGAAAGACGACAAUCAUAAGGGUUCAAACAAGAAAGCAUAACUUGCAUGGCAGAAUUGUAACAAACCCGAUCACGUGAAGCGAGAUUGUCGUUUGAAGAAGAAAAAAGUAGAGCAAGCAUUUAUGGACAAGGAUCAAAUGAUCACGGUCCAAAACCACAAGGUCAUAAUUUUAUUUCUAGAAAAUUUACUGUUGUUAUAUAUCAUGUAACACUUAUUCUUGGAUCAUUUUAUGUUCAAGAUGAUGAUCAUGCAUGGUGGAUAGACUCGAGGGCGACAAAUCAUGUAUGUAAAUAUCGUUCUUGGUUUAAGGAUUAUGAAGUAGUGGAUAUAUAAUGUCCCCAUUUUCCAACCCAAAAUUUUCAUUUUUAUUUGUUAAAUAUAUCAAAGUAUAAUUAUAUUUUAUGGAAACAUGUUGUGAAUAUGCGUGUGUAUAGUACAUAUACAAUACAUACACAUAAUGAUCUUCAACAUAAAGUUGGUCCACCUUUGGCCAUCAGCAUGAAGCUGGUCCGCCCCUUUUUGCCUCCAGCAUAAAAUUGGUCCGCUAUUUGGCCUUUAGCAUAAAGAUGGUCCGUCUGAGUCUAUUGGCCUUCAACUCGAGGCUGGACCACCCUCAGCAUAAAUAUAGAACCAUAUGAUUUUAUGUUUUAGACUCGUCAUUGCUUUUAUUAACUACCGGAUAACAUAAAAAACUAGUUUAUAAGCUAUUUUAAUAGUUUUAAUAAAACACUACUAAGCUUAAAUAUAAGCUAGACACAAUCCAAAUUUAUUUUUGCUUGUAGUACGGUCAUCUAUUUUUUUUUUAUAUGAAAAGAUGUUCAAAAAUUAUUUUAACUGUGUUUCAAUAAAUAAGUUUUGAAACACAAAGGAUUGGUGAAUACUUAAUUUUUUUUUUAAUACCAUAUAUUUAUACAAAACUCAGGCCUAUGAUGUCCCACCUCCCCAUGUUUUAAUUUGCAACACUACCUUGUCGUUGUUUUUGUAAGAAUAGCUACCAUUUGUUUUACCCAAUAUACUCACGUCUCUAAAACACUUUCCGUCUUAAUAACGGAUGACUACGUGAUCUUUUUGUCAACUGUCAACAAGGUCGGUCUGUUGUUUUUUACUACCCAGGACAAAAUAAGAAAUUUAUGCCCUUAUAUAUACCAUACGAUAAAGAAAACUUGUCUAUAAAAUAUUUAUAAAAUAAAAAAUGCAGUAAAUAUUAUAAUCAAACAAAUAGUAGAAUAAAAAACCUACAAAAAUCACCUAAAAUGACGUCUGUAUGUACUUUUUUGAAGCUAAAACAUCUCUUAUUUUACAAUAAUUAAUAUUUUGAAAAAAAUCACUUUCAAUACUUAAAAAUGCUAAUAUAUUCAAUCUUUUCUUGAGUCAUGGUAAAUAUACAAUUUCAAGACCUUCAAUUUUGAAAAAUUUCCUUCCGCGGAAGCAACCAUAACCUGCACAAUCAACAAUAUCAUAUACACAACCAAAACAUUAGUGAACAUAUAUAUUAUUCUUGCAUACUCCACUCUUCUUGUUCUCUUUUUGUUUUCUAUUUUGAGCAGCACCUUAUGGUUGUUUUCAGAGAAACAUAUAUAUAACUCAAAAAAUCUAAUUAUAAAAUUUAAGCAACAAAAAGAUACAACAUGUCCAAAGUUUAUGUUUUCCCCUUUCAAGAUGUCAAGAGAUCUGAAAAAUAAACCAGAUAAUAAAAAAUAAGAAUCUAUUUUUCAAAACUAUUAUAUAUUAUAACAAUGGAAUACAUUUAUACCUUUUUGCUACUCACUAAAAGUAUAGAUAGUAAAAAAACAGAAAUAAGAACUCAUAUGUUCAAUAAAUAAUUAAACUUCUUUCUGCUUCCUGAUUCAAAUAAAAAACAAGAACACAAAAGGUUAGAAGACAAAUUAAAAAAAAAUGAUGAGAAGGCAUAGAUUUUGGUUUAAACAUUGGAGAAAUUUUUAACUUUCAACUACGUCUAAAAGUCAAGCAAGAUAGUAAAAAAGACAUAAAUCAGAACUCAGAAGUUCAAAAGAUAAUUAAAUGUCUUUCCUCCUCCUCAUUCACAUCAAAAAACAAGAACACAACGGUUUACAAGACAAAUUAAAAAAAAAAAAAAACAAAAAACAAAAAACAAAAAAAAACAAACAAACAAACGAGAAUGCAACAAUUUUUUUUACCUAAAUUAGAUACAAACCAACAACAGCUUGACUUAGAAUCUAAAGCUCAAACACAGGAAUCAAAUACAAAACAACAACAUAUUUUUGCUUCAACUAAUCAUAUAGUAUUUGGGAGUUUAACACUUUUAACUGAACUCGAAUUCAACAUGUAAAGAUAAAAAAAAUUGACCCAAAUAAAAGAAAAGAAUCCAUAAAUCAGAAACAAUUAACAAAAUAUGAAGUUAAGAAAAAAAUAAAAAAAGUACUCCCUGAAGAGUGAAGAGAUUCAUUCAUUCGGAUAUCAAAAAAAUCCAAUACGUGACGCUCUGUUGUAAUGCCUAAUCGGAACUCGGAACCCAGAUUGCGAGAUUGAAACUUGAAAAAAAUCAAACUCUGAGAGCAGGUGAUGCUCGAUUGAAUGCACAAAAGGUUUAGAGAGAUCGAGAGAAAAGAAAUCAGAUAUCUAUUUGAUUUAGAAUGCGAAAUUGAGAAUAGAAUUCAUAUACCGAUUUACUGAUUUAGAAUUUGACUCCUCGAUCCCAACAUAUCGCUCAACGAUUUUCAGUUUUCAAGGGUGUUACCGAUUACCGAUUUUGACGAUUGAAAAUCUCAAGAACUUUGAUUAUUUGUUGGAGGCUUUCAGUGAAAUUAUGCCCCAGUACGUUGAUUUCUUCGUGAGCACAACUCACAAAUGGACUGAACUUCCAACAUAGUAUAGUAUAUAGU
Molecule: long non-coding RNA, 71862 nt
Filed under: Lactuca sativa (garden lettuce)
Lineage: Eukaryota; Viridiplantae; Streptophyta; Magnoliopsida; Asterales; Asteraceae
Description: long non-coding RNA (LSAT_LNC004907)
Source: RNAcentral